AUGCCGAGGAUCACAAAACAAGGUGUGAAUAACCAUGCUAACUCACUUGGUACUCCUAAUAUUAUCACCUAAUCAAUGUGCCGGUUAACCACACACGCUCCAUUGAUCUAUGACAACAUUAAGUUACCCUUCGUGAUCCUUACUAGUCUAAUUAGUGUGCCGGUUAACCACACACGCUCCACUAACGACUUGGUAAGGUACAAAGUGUGAAUUCCAUGGAUUAGCACCAUGUUCACAUUUUCCUAAAAUAACUAAGAUUGGGAAUUAAAAGAGUUUAGUUAUUUUAUAAUAUUCAUUAUACUUUUAAUGAGGAUUUAAAGUCGUUGUUCUACCCGUUCGGCUAACGACCCUCCACCGAUCAAGCAAGCGGUGGGUGAGAGUAUACACCCAUUAAGUCGCCAUUUUAUAGGCAACAACCUUAUACCCACCUUAUAGACCGGCUUCGUGAAUGAGGCCUACUAACGGUAAAACGACUUAUUCUUAUACAUAUAUAUAAUAAUUAACCAUUAAUGUUAUAAAUAGUAUAAGGGUUGAAUUUUAACUAUUAAAACUCUAAGGUUUGGAAUUAAAGUUUAUUAAAGUGUGUGAAACUUUACAAAUUCCAAAACUUGAGGACAAGUUUUGUAACUUUGCAAAACUCUUCAUUUCAUAACUUAUGAAUUAAAGGUUCAUAAAAAUGAAGACUCUUCAUUUUCAUGUAACUUAUGUGUUUUAAGUGUGUGUUAAAUGAAAGUGACCUUUGGUAAUCCAUAACUUGAGGACAAAUUAUGGACUCCAUUAAAACACAUAAAUGAUUAAGAAUUAAUUCUAAACAAUUCAGCAAAUAAUUCCUAUCAUUUUCUAAAUUCAUAAGAACAUGAACAUGAUCAUCAAAAAUUCAAGAAUUAUAUGAACACAUAAAAUCAUGGAUUUUUGAUAUAUGCUAUUGUAAAUGGAUUAGAACAACCAUUACACCAACUAAAAUAAGUUUUACAACACCAAAACAAUUUAGGGUAAUGUUUCCAGUCCAUUUCCAGCAGCAAAAGUCGAGAUUCUGCAUUCUUUCGAUCCUACUCGCCGAGUGCACGAACGGACUCGUCGAGUAGGUUGAAGUUUGCCUUGGACUCGGCGAGUCCCCCCAAUGGACUCGGCGAGUCUAGCAUGCAGACAGCAACGAUUUCGACUUUUUUCACUAUUUUGCAUCAAGUAUCAAACAAGCAAGCCUAGGCUCUGAUACCACUGUUGGGUUUUGAGCAAUCUAACACUUCCUAAGUGUGCAUGCAACCCUAAUAAACCUUGGAUCUAUGUUUGUCUAAAUACAUGCAAAAUAAUAAUUUUCCAAGGUUUAUAACCUAUCUAACAUGGCAUGGGGAACAUUUCAACAUAAAAGAGUUAGAAGAGAUUACAUACCUUUGUUGUGUUGGGUUCUUAGGAGUUUGAGGGCCAAGCACCAAUAGUGUGAAUGCCUCAAAUGGAAUCACAAAACACCACAAACUCUUGGAAAACUUUGAGAGAGUAUACACACUUGUAUAUUUCGGCCACACACAAGCACACACACACACACACACACUAGUUCACUAGUUGCCAUUUCAUGCACCAUAAGCAUGCUUAUAUAGUGUACAUGGUUAGAGUGAAACCCUAAUAACCCAUGACUUUUCCUUUCCAAGGAUCCAUGGGUUAAAAGCUCCAUGGAUCAUCCAUGGACUUCCAUCAAAGCCUAGCCCAUUAACAAAUGAGUGUUAGCCCACACCAUAUAAAAUCAAUAGCCCAUAAUCUAAUUAGUCUUCCUUUUAAUCUUUAAAUUAAUUCAUAAUUAAUUUAAGACUAAGACUAAUUAAAUAACAUAACCUCAUAUUAAUAUAUUAUAACUUAUAAUAUAUUAAUAAACAUAUGUGUAUAACUCUCAUAAAAUUAUCCAUAGAUAGUUUGGAUGAGAUGCAACCCAAAUGGACCAUGUCGGUCGGGUCAAGUAUAUACCAAAUAAGUUAUGGACUUAGAAACCUUAUCCAACAUCUUGAACUAUGUAUAAUUGGCAUAUGCGAGGCAAAUGGCGAGGGCAACGGAGAUCUCGUAAGGUAGAGCAGUGUUGUGAGUGGUCUAAAACUAGUGUCUAGACUUAUUUUUGAGGUUCUCAGGAACCUGUAGGGUGAGUCCAUACCUUAUAUGAGGAAGUAGAGUUCAUGGGGUCUUGAGGGUACGACUCGAGACAAAUACGAAUUGGUGUGAAAGGUAGUAUUCAACCCGUACACUGAAAAUACCGGAUCCAUACGCGGCUCAAGGAAAUAACCUCGAGGGACUAGAGAGCUUAUAGGGGUGUGAGAGUCGAUAUAUCUGUUUAGCUUUUGUUGAUGAUUUUUCUUAUGCAUUUCAGUAUGGUGGUUACCUGAGGUUCAGGCUCUAAUGACCCUGAGAGGCCGACUGCCAAUGAUGAUGAGAUUCACAUGAUUGUUGCCGAAAAGGUGGCCACAGAAAUCCGAGAAGCUAUCCUGGAGAUGUUUGGGUCAGUUAAGACCACCCUGAUUGAGACCUUUGAUGAGAGCUAUGUCGUUGUUACUAAGGCUGUUGUUGUCGCCGCCACCACAGCUCUCGCUGCUGCGAGAUCGCAGGGGGUGAUUCGUUGUGGUAUCGUUCACCAACACGAAUCCACAUGAGUUUGAUGGGACCCAAGAUCCAAUUUCCGCUAUGAGAUGGAUCUAUGAAGUUGAGGCAUGUUUUUAUACCUACUCCUGUUCGGAGAAUUUGAGAGUUCGAUUUGCAUUGAACCUGCUUCACUUGGGAGCGAAGGACCGGUGGAAGUUUGUGAUAGCUUACUACGCACCUGCAGAGCAUGUAAUGAUGACUUAGGAGAGGCUUACUGCAAUGUUAAGGGAUGAGUUUGUACCUGUAGUUGAGCGGGAUAGGUUAGCCCAGGAGUUCCUGUCUCUCAAGCAGAAGACAAAGACAGUGACUGUGAUCACCAGGAUGUUUCAUGAGAGAGCUUUAUUUUUUCCUGAGCAGGUAUCGAUGGAGUAGGCUCGUGUGGCCCAGUAUUUGAGUGUUAUGAGGAAGGAUAUCAGGGAGUUUGUGGCAAACACCACACAUAGGACAUUGGCUGGGCUGCAUACCAAUAUUAGUAGGAGAGAGAUCGAGCUAGAGACUCAGGCUAGGAAGGAGAGGGAGAACCAGGGUAGGGACAGGAGGCCAGUGUAGUCGCAGCCAACGGCUAAGCUGGCUAAGCUCGCUGAUCAGAGAGUUGGAGGCUAGAAGGGCCGCACGUGCGGAAAGUGCAGCAAAGUUCAUGAGGGACCAUGUCGGUCCGAGUCGGCUUACUACAUGUGUAGCAAGGAGGGGUAUUUUUGCUAGGGAAUGCGCUAAGGGAUUUCAAGUUUGUUUCAGCUCCAACUAGACGAGCCACAUAAAGGCCGGUUGUCCACAGCUUGCAUCUAGGGCGGUUCCAACUCCUGCCCUAAUGACACUUCAUAUCAUCGAUGGCUAGCAAGGUAAGGCCGAUGCACCGAAGGCUCAGGACAGAGCUUUUCAGUUGACAACAGAGGAGGCCCGAGGAACUCCUGAUGUCAUGGCUGGUAUGUAUUGCUUAUAUUUCUAUUGAUUUAUUUAUGAUGCUUAUACUGUUAAUUGUGUAGGUAUGUUCCUUUUGAAUUAUGUGCAUGCUCUUGUGUUAUUUGACUCAGGUGAGAGUCGGUCUUUUGUGUCAUCAUCUUUUAGUUGCAGUUUUAGUAUUAAACGAGAGGCCUUGAGAAAGCCCUUGAUGGUCUUAAUACCUAAUGAGGCUACUGUCUCAGUUGUUGUUGUCUAUCAGGUUUGUGUGUAAGAGAUAUUCAGGGUUUCUUAUCCGACAAACCUCAUCCAUAUCUCGAUGGGGGAUGUUUGUGUGAUCAUGGGUAUUGAUUGGUUGAGCCGGUUUGGGGCUUUCAUCGAUUGCGAGUCGCAGUUAGUGACAAUNGGGGGGGGGGUGCUGACUAUUUAUGGUGAGGGUACAAGAUCAGGAUCAACCCUCUGUUCUGCCGCUAGGGCAAGACAGAUUUUAGAGCAUGGGUGCAUGGGUUUUCUGGCUUAUGUGGUGGAUACUCGGGUUGAGAAGAAGGGAGUGACUUUUUGUUUCUGAUGUUCCGGUGGUAUGUGAUUUUCCUGAUGUUUUUCCCGAGGAGUUACCAAGUGUGCCUCCUGAGAGGCGGGUGGAGUUAAGGAUCGAUCUGAUUUUGGGUGUAGCAUUAAUCGCCAAGGAACCGUAUCAUCUUACACCUCAUGAGAUGCAGGAAUUAUCCUCUAAUUUGCAAGAGCUGUUGGGGAAAGGGUUCAUUAGACCGAGAAGUUCUUCGUGGAGAGGAUAUUCAAAAUACGGCCUUUCGAACUCGUUAUGGGCAUUAUGAGUUUGUGGUUAUGCCUUUUAGACACACCAACACACCGACAGUGUUCAUGGACCUCAUGAACCGAGUGUAUAGGCACAUGUUGGAUCGAUUUGUGAUGUUUUUAUCAAUGACAUUCUGGUAUAUUCGAAGACUAGGGAGCAACAUGAAGAGCAUCUGUGUGAGAUUUUUGGGGUAUUGAGGAUGGAGAGGCUUUAUGCCAAAUUCUCCUAAUGUGUUUUCUAGUUGAUAGUGGUUCAGUUUUUAGGAUACCUUGUCAAUCAAAACGGUAUUUAGGUCGACCCAACCAAAAUUGAGGCGGUGACGCAGUGGGAGGUGUCGAGAUCUCCAUCUGAGAUUUGGAGAUUCCCUGGUUUGGUAAAUUAUUAUCGGAGGUUCAUCAGAGAUACGAUUGUUUUUCCUCUCACAAUGUUGACCAGGGAACACGUUGCCUUUAGUUGGGGGCCUGAGCAGCAGACAUCAUUUGAGACUCUACUUCAGAGGUUGUACGAGGCCCCAAUGCCUGCCCUCCUUGAGGGAGUUAAGGAUUUCGUAGUUUAUUGUGAUGCAUCCAUUAUGGGAUUGGGUGUUGUAUUGAUGCGGGGAGGACAUGUGAUAGCAUACCUUUCGAGGUAGCUGAAGCCACAUGAGCUGAGGUACCCCACUCAUGAUUUGGAUUUAAGGGCGGUGGUUUUCGCCCUCAAGAUUUGACGCCACUAUCUCUAUGGUUUUCGGUGUACCAUCUACACGGACCAUAAAAUCUUGAGAUACCUUAUGGAUCAACCUAACCUCAAUAUGAGGAAGAGGAGGUGGUUAGAUGUCACACCCCCAAACCAAGGAUGGCGGAAACGUCCGGGGGUGGAGGAUUUCAUGCAAAGUAUCACAACAACGAGUAUAAUAGUGCUCAAAGUAAAUACAACCAUCAUGAAUAUAAUUGAAAAAGUUACACCAAAGUAUAUGUUUACAUGAUUCAAAUCAAUUACAUUAUGAUACAAAAUGAACUGUUUGACGAUUUAUCGUCCCAUCCUCAAAAUGUGGUUGAUUUCCUGUUUCACCGAAUUCCUGAGAAUACAAGUAGUUUUGAAAAAGUGUCAACACAAAGGUAGGUGAGUUCAUAAGCUUUUGACAGUAGGAGUUUGAAAAUCGAUCUUUGUAAGAAGAUGUAUGUCACCAAGAAAAAUCCAAUAUUUUCCUUAUAAAAGUCAUGUAGUCCUAAAUACCAGGACCGAAAUGAACAAGUAUUUUGUCAUACUUAAAGCUAUAAUUGUGAUUUUAAAUUGGCGUAAAACCCCUUUCUGAUUUGAGAAAAUACCGAAAUGAAUGAUGUGUGGUCUUAAAUACCAAGACGGAAAAUAUACCAUAAUAUCUGUAAUUAUUGAUAUAAAAAGUGAUUUUAAAUUGACAUAAAACCCCUUUUGAUUUAUGCGAAACCUUGUAAACUUAUGUUGUUAGAUCCCUAUGUGAGUCGCUAUAAUCAUACUAAUGACUGAAUACACCAGCCACGACGUUUCUCAAGNCACGACGUUUCUCAGGCGUCGCGAAACUGAAAUGACACUUGUCACCCGCAGACCUGCAGGUCCGGCUGUAGCUAGCAGCGAGGUGUGGGGUGUCAAACCCAAUAUAGAUCUAUACACAACUAUCACGUUCUCCCUCCAGGAGACUCUGAUUAUAAUUAGCAGGAAUUAGAUUCCGCACUCGGACGUACGGAAGAGAAUGUCUCACAAUUUAGGUUAACAAGUUUACGUGUGGUGUGCAUAAGUGUAAAGCCUUUUCCUGUGGGAAUAAAACCUUCCGAAAUGUGUUUGUUGUGUUAAUGGAAACAUAAACCAUACCUGUUAUAGUUUAUCCCAAAAGGUUUGUAAUGUAUAAAAACUCUUUUAUGAAAACGCUUUUGUAAUGAAUUUACACUUAGCGUAAUGAAAGUUCCCUUUUGUAUAAAUGUACCCUUCUGAAAAUGUAUUUGUAUUUUGUAAAGUAUCAUAAACUAUACCUAUUAUAAUUUAUCAAAACAAGGGUAGAAAUAGUAAAGUACAUAAACUAUACUUAACAUAGUUUAAUAAUACAUUUGUAUGUAAUGGGUGUACUUUAAUUAUAACACUGGGUUAUUUCUAUGUAUUAUCUAGUAAAAAUUCAUUUGUUAACUAGUGUAUAUCUAGAUAUGAAUGCAAAAAUGUCACGUACUACAAUAACACAUAAUCACAUAAUGAUAUAUACCUUGCUCAACAUGUUACAAGGUGAAAUGAAAUUUAUAGUGUUUUUCUAUUUAUAACAUUUUAUGUAGCUGUUAUUGGAAAAUUUGUAGAAAACUCAUAAAAUGUCCAAAUCAAGUUCUGUAACUUCUGAGAGUUUGGAAAAUGAGUCUAGUUGGUUCAUAAAUUUUUCCAUAAUUUUUAGGGACCUCUAACGUGUGUGACCAAGUCCAUAAUCACAGACUGGUCCGGAUUGGUGUUUGAGAUGAUAGGCAGUUUUGUAAAAAUAACCAUAAAUUGUAGAAAAAUCGUAUGGAGAUGUGCAAGUAGUCAUCUUAAAGCUAAGAACUGGAGCUACUUACACCUAAAACAGUUUUGUAAUAAAAAAUGUUUAAUUUGUCCAAAACAGUCCAUGAAUGGUGUCCAACUUUUCUGAUGAAGGCUGUUAGAAAAGUUUAGUUUUGUUCUUGUUGUUUUGCUUGUAUUCUCCCCCUAAAAACUUGAGAAAACAUGAAAAUGUAGGGGUAUGAACUCACCUUGAGUGAUUUCAGUAGAUGAGUGUUGAAGAAGAGAAGUGUUCAACUCAAGAACACUUGAUGAAUCACUUGAAGAUUCGAAGAUCUAAUAAGAAGGUGAUGAUGUUUGUGUAAGCAAUCUAUGAUUUUGAGUAGGAGGAUGUGUAAUAAUCAUAAGAAAGAUGAUGAUACUUACUAAAUGAAGGAGAAAAGUCUUGGAGUAUGCCUUGAAGUUCUCGAAUUUGAGAGAGAAAGAUGAGAGAGUUUGGAGUGUGGUUCUUGGUGGAAAAAUGAGAGAAUGAAUGAAGUGUGAGGAGAGAGGGUGGAUGUUCCAUCUCUAAGAACGUGGGAAUGGCUGAAAAUAAUGAGAAAGGACUUAUGAAGUGACUAGGGAUGGGCUGGUGGUGAAUAGUGACAUGGAGUGGGUAUGAGAGUGGUUGCUUGUGUCAUAGAAUAAAGGAAAGUCAACACUCCACCUUUGUACUUCACCCACUCUUUUGGAUAAGGUUUUAUCCUUAAAAAAAUGAUAAUUUAAUAAUUAUGGGUCCUUAUAUGUUAUAAUAAAGUUUUGGGUGAAAAUCCGGUGUUAAAACAAUUAAAAACGGGCCUAAAACGCGAAAUUAGUCGAAAACCGGGAGAAAAAGGCCGUUCCAGCGAGACCUCUUGGUCCUAGGCCGAGGUUCGGUCCCUAAUGCAGCUAGGCGCGAAGCGAUGGGGGGGCGAGGAAGCGAGAGGCGAAGGGUCAGUCCGAAGGCUCGGUCCGAAGGGUCAGAAGCGAGGGCUCGGUCAAGGCUCAGGAUCCGAAAUGGACCGAAGGUUCGGGUUCGGGUGUGUAGGCGAGGUUCGGGCCCGAGAGGACCUUUCGGGUUCGGUUCAGCAGCCUUCGGCUCAGAAGGGUUCGGUUCCUAAGAGGACUUUCGGGUCCUAAGAGGGGUUUCGGUUCCUAAGAGGACUUUCGGGUCCUAAGAGGGGUUUCGGGUCCUUAAGUCCGUUUUUCGCGUAGACUUCCGUUUUUGGGCUGUUUUCGCCAAAUUCGAGGGUCGGGAUGCCCCGAGUGAUUAUAGAAAGUUGAGAGAGAUUUCGAGAGAGAUUUGAGAGAGAUUCCACAUACUUAGAGAGAUUUGGGAGAGAUUUGACAUACUUGGAGAGAUUUCUCAUACAAAGAGAUAUUUGGGAGAGAUUUCACAUACUUAGAGAGAUUUGGGAGAGAUUUGACAUUCUUGGAGAGAUUUCUCAUACAAAGAGAUAUUUGGGAGAGAUUUCACAUACUUAGAGAGAUUUGGGAGAGAUUUGACAUUCUUGGAGAGAUUUCUCAUACGAAGAGAUAUUUGGGAGAGAUUUCACAUACUUGGAGAGAUUUGGGAGAGAUUCUCGAUAAGAAGAGAUGGAGUGAAAACGAUUGAGAGCGGUUUUGUGUGUGACGAAUGUGAGUGUCCGGCUUUGCAAUGCAAGGUCCGUAAACCCUGUUAUGCCUUGUUUAAGGAUCUUGCAUACUCCCGAUGAGUAUGCAACAUUGUUUUAUCGGUUUGGCUUGCCACGUACCAUAGUUUUAGGUUAAAGAGAUCUAGAUGUACGCACUUUUCGAUUUAUGAUCUCUCAUUAGAAUAACGAGUUGUUUAGAAAUUACAUAACGUAAACUCUAGUACCUACGGGCAAAUCGAGUUGACCGGUUUGACUUGUUGACUUUAGUUGACUUUGACUUGACCGAAAAUUGACGGUUGUCACAUCAUCCCCCCGUUAGAGGGAAUUUCGUCCAGAAAUUUUGAAUUUAGGCAAGGAGUGGGCAUGAACAAUCGAGCCAUGAAGUGGGGAUACUUCCUAAUCGACUGAUUCUCGCGCUCCCAAGUGACUCCAGGUCCUUGGUUAGUAUUCCAGCGAACUUCCACUAAUGGGAAGUUGCGUUCGCUUAACCUCUCGGUCCAUGGUCACUAUGGUUCUUUCACGAAGGUGAGGCUCUUAUGGAACUCCAUCUCGUCGAGGGUGAUUACAAGAGUCUCGUCGGAUAGAUACUUCUGCAAGUUCGGGAUCUGUCGGGUAGAAUGUACUUUACUAAGCUCGCGGGACUAGAUUGAAGUUGCGAUUACAGGGAUGAUUCUUACAAGAAUCUCGAAAGGCAUAAUUAUCUGGGGUUUUGGCUUUCCACGCUUUCCAAAGCAUACUAAGCCUGCCCAAAGUGAGGUUUCCAGAGGAAUUUGGUCUCUUAUUCUGGAGUUCUAAAGGUUUCUUCCUUUUGCUUCUCUUCCCAGUCGAGGGUUGCUCCCUUCAGGGUCAAAGUCGUAAAAGGGUUCUGUAAUUUACGAGAAGUUCCAAAGGAACUAAGACGGUAGGUCAGCGAGACCCGGAAUUUUGGCGUAUUCCUGCUGAUGCUAUUUGUGCUGACUGUUUCUCAACGGUUUUGAUCACUUGAAAGAGUCCUUAAGGAUUUCCACAUUGAUAAUGAUGUGUCUUAGGAAUUUGAGUCCUCAAUUCCAAAACUCGUAUCUAGAGAACUUCGGGGUAAAGCUUCUCUGAUCGUAUUUCUUUCGCGGUUUGUUGCAGCUGCUCUCCUUGGUUUCCUUCUUACUACGAGGGUAGAUAAGUAAGUCAUUUACAAUGACAAUGACUAACGGAUCCUAGUAAGAAUGGCAUAUCCUAUGAAUACUACGAGCAGGUUGGUCCUAUCCGAGGGGUAUCACUACGGACUUGCAGCGUCCGCAUCGAAUUUGGAGGAUUGUCCUCGGACAUCCUUCUCCAAUACUCGCGACUGGUGAUAUUUAGAUCUCAGGUCCAAUUCCUGAAGGGUACUUCGUUCCUCGCGGUUGGUCAGCCUAUUCGUCUAUGCGAGGUAGAUAGUAAAGGUUUCUAUUGGAGAUAUUGCCAGGGCUUUGAGGUCAAUGGGCCCUCGAGAAAUUUUGUCUUUCAAUUUUGAAGAAUAAAACCAGAGUUCUCCAGGGUGAGAAUCUUGAUUCUUCAAUUUCAUUGUUGGGUAGCUCGACGGUUUUGGCCUGACAGUUUAUGGCAGGACUCGUACCUAGUCCAUCUAUCAUUCACUUGCGCAUAUAGGUCGUAUGUCCUCAAGAUUGGCAAGACAGUUGGAUGGGUGACUCUGCCCCAAAUCCACAACCAGACAUGGAACAGGAAAUAGGGCGGAAGCACACAUCCAAUGUCUGUAGAAUCUUAAUUAUACAUUAUCCUCGCGUAUACACGUAGUAGUGGUGGACUAACCGUAUCCGUCCCAAGCUUCUGUGCUUGAACCUUGUCUGCUACAUGCGUGUCAUUCCCGAACGUCUCCUAUAAAUACUUGUGAUAAGGUUUUGGGAUGUAUAACACUCCUCUGGUGCGUGUUUUGGGGUUUCACCGUGAGAGAUGACCCGGAGAUCCGUGCUGGACGCGUUUAUGGGAGACAAAGAUUCUGAUAUUCGGUGAGUUAGGUGAAGGGUUCUUUUGUAGCCGUUAAAUCGGGAAGAUGAGGGCUAUAUCCUUAAAAUUGGAUGAUGACAACAAUAUCUUUUUAGAUAACAUGCAUUAAGCUGUAGUCAUAAGAAGACAUCACUAAAGUGAUAGAGUAUCUCGUGUUACUUUCCUUGUUCCGUUUUGUUUGAUGUUAUUAUUACUAUAGAUGAUUUAUACCACAGUGUCUAGCAUUGGUAGUGGGUGUGUUUCGAUAAUCAGUAAUGGUACUUGACAUCGUGAUCCCUAACAGGUCUCCCUAUGAUCGAACGGUAUAUGAACAUCGUAUGAGAGUUGAUGUUGGCGAGAUUGUCGAGUGGGUGGCCCCACUCAAUUCUUACUACUAGAAAUGAAAUAGGAGUCAGGAUGAAAUUAUUUGUUUCAAGACUUUAGUAUUUUGAUUAUAAUUAACCCCGAUGUAUGUACAAAGUCAUCACAUCUUACAGGUAAUGAUCCUAAGAUCAUAUAUGAAUGUCUUUGAUUUGAUUUGAACGAGAGAGUAUUUUAACUACUUUUAGAAAGACGGUGACUUUAGCAAGCAUACCAAAUUCAUAACAAACAUAUGGUACUUAAACGUUUUUGUCGUUGGAAACAUUACAAAAGUCCUAAUAUGGUUCCUUGUUACCCUUUUUGGUUCAUUUGUCACACUCCUUCGGCUCCCCCAUCAUUCUUCUUAGUUGGGCAGUUUCUCUUGAAGUGUCCUGUUUCGCCACAUCGGAAGCACCCUUGAAUUACUUUUGUAUUGGGGGUUGGAGCGAUGCACUGCGUCGGGGCCCUACAGAAACGGAUGGUAUGCCCUUUCUUGUCGCAAUUUUUACAAUGUAUCUCCCGGCAAGCCCCAUUGUGAUGGAAGCCACAUUGGUUACACUUUGGGAGUGAUCCAUUAUAUGGUCUGGCCGGCGUUUGGGUGGCAGACCCCGUGGCUAGUGUCGAGGCAUGUGUCGUGACUGCUGUUGUAAUGGUAGGGGUGGCCAUAGGUUGUUGUCUUUUAGUGAAUGUUUGAGAUUGGUGGCGCUCUUUCAUGUUCCAAAACUUUCUCUUCUUGCUCGUGGGUUUGUGACCGGGGGUAUUUUCGUUGGCGGACACCCGUUGGUGUUCUUGAAUAUUACCACAAUCUGUAUUGUCAGUACCGCUUCCAUUUCUGCUAGCGUUGUUAACAUUGAACNGUGCCAUGACUGCUGCCACGGCUGCCGUGACUGCAGCCUGAAAAGUAGCAGAAUCUAUCUGCAGGGUUGGCGCCUUGCUAGUUGGUUGAUUGCCUCUUGGUAAAGACAUAGCUCUGUUCCACGAUGAAAAACGACUUCGUUAGUAGGGAUAAUUAUCUCAAGUGCACUAAUACGAUUUAUAUUCAAAUAUAUAAAUUUUUGCACAUUACUGUACUAUUCCUAGUGUUCCUGCUAACGUUCCCAAGAUGGAGUUAUGGCAGUGGGUAGGAGUAGGUUUCAUACAGGCGUUAAGCUUUACUCAUCUUAGAAUCAUGUUUGUCCAAACACGCUUGGCUGAGGAGUUUUGAUGGGACCCGGUGUAUUAGUGCCUGAACGAUCGCACUCCGUAAGUCUAUGAAGAAGGAACUUCCCAACGAAAUGUUUAAAGGUGAGAUGAUAAUGAGUUUUUAGAAUGGCUAUACGUCGCAAGUUUGUAACUAAGUUUUAUCUUAUAUCGAUUUGUAACGUAAUUCGGUCGUUAAGGGCGUUCUGAAAACAAUUCAUAACGAGAUUCUUUAUAUGGUAUACUCAUGUAUUUCAGUAGUUUUGUAUCCAAGUGAACCCUUAUACUUGACCCAAGCUAGGUCCUUAUUAUGACCAAUUGAAGUAUGCUUAGUUAUAUAACUAUGAUCAAAUAGACCUUCGAUUCUGUUAGGUAUAUCCUAUGCCCAUCUUGUUAAUUAUGAUUCUAGAAAUUAUGGUUUCAGCGAAAUUUUUUGACCUAGAUGUAGGUUUACCUCACAUCCGUGCAUGGAAAAGUUUUGAUAGCAACUAGAUCCCUCGUUGAGUAUGACCACUUAAAUCCCAGUGUCGUGCUUACGGCUAGAAUAGAGUAGCACCAACGCAUACUCACGAAUCUAAAUUACAAGGUCUUGUGAGUGGUAUGAACUCUACUUACGACGAUCCGUCCCUUGCGAUGCCUGAGGCAAAGUCGAUGCACCUUGCAGCUCUGUUAAUCGAUGCCUGGCUGCAAUCCUCCUCUCAUUGAAUGCCGUGUGUCUACCCCGUUACUCUCUUGCCUCUGCCUGAGUGGCGAUAAGGCCCUAAACAGAGAGUUGNUUCUCAGGCGUCGCGAAACUGAAAUGACACUUGUCACCCGCAGACCUGCAGGUCCGGCUGUAGCUAGCAGCGAGGUGUGGGGUGUCAAACCCAAUAUAGAUCUAUACACAACUAUCACGUUCUCCCUCCAGGAGACUCUGAUUAUAACUAGCAGGAAUUAGAUUCCGCACUCGGAGGUACGGAAGAGAAUGUCUCACAAUUUAGGUUAACAAGUUUACGUGUGGUGUGCAUAAUUGUAAAACCUUUUCCUAUGGGAAUAAAACCUCUCGAAAUGUGUUUGUUGUGUUAAUGGAAACAUAAACCAUACCUGUUAUAGUUUAUCCCAAAAGGUUUGUAAUGUAUAAAAACUCUUUUAUGAAAACGCUUUUGUAAUGAAUUUACACUUAGCGUAAUGAAAGUUCCCUUUUGUAUAAAUGUACCCUUCUGAAAAUAUAUUUGUAUUUUGUAAAGUAUCAUAAACUAUACCUAUUAUAGUUUAUCAAAACAAGGGUAGAAAUAGUAAAGUACAUAAACUAUACUUAACAUAGUUUAAUAAUACAUUUGUAUGUAAUGGGUGUACUUUAAUUAUAACACUUGGUUAUUUCUAUGUAUUAUCUAGUGAAAAUUCAUUUGUUAACUGGUGUAUAUCUAGAUAUGAAUGCAAAAAUGUCACGUACUACAAUAACACAUAAUCACAUAAUGAUAUAUACCUUGCUCAACAUGUUACAAGGUGAAAUGAAAUUUAUAGUGUUUUUCUAUUUAUAACAUUUUCUGUAGCUGUUAUUGGAAAAUUUGUAGAAAACUCAUAAAAUGUCCAAAUCAAGUUCUGUAACUUCUGAGAGUUUGGAAAAUGAGUCUAGUUGGUUCAUAAAUUUUUCCAUAAUUUUUAGGGACCUCUAACGUGUGUGACCAAGUCCAUAAUCACAGACUGGUCCGGAUUGGUGUUUGAGAUGAUAGGCAGUUUUGUAAAAAUAACCAUAAAUUGUAGAAAAAUCGUAUGGAGAUGUGCAAGUAGUCAUCUUAAAGCUAAGAACUGGAGCUACUUACACCUAAAACAGUUUUGUAAUAAAAAAUGUUUAAUUUGUCCAAAACAGUCCAUGAAUGGUGUCCAACUUUUCUGAUGAAGGCUGUUAGAAAAGUUUAGUUUUGUUCUUGUUGUUUUGCUUGUAUUCUCCCCCUAAAAACUUGAGAAAACAUGAAAAUGUAGGGGUAUGAACUCACCUUGAGUGAUUUCAGUAGAUAAGUGUUGAAGAAGAGAAGUGUUCAACUCAAGAACACUUGAUGAAUCACUUGAAGAUUCGAAGAUCUAACAAGAAGGUGAUGAUGUUUGUGUAAGCAAUCUAUGAUUUUGAGUAGGAGGAUGUGUAAUAAUCAUAAGAAAGAUGAUGAUACUUACUAAAUGAAGGAGAAAAGUCUUGGAGUAUGCCUUGAAGUUCUCGAAUUUGAGAGAGAAAGAUGAGAGAGUUUGGAGUGUGGUUCUUGGUGGAAAAAUGAGAGAAUGAAUGAAGUGUGAGGAGAGAGGGUGGAUGUUCCAGCUCUAAGAACGUGGGAAUGGCUGAAAAUAAUGAGAAAGGACUUAUGAAGUGACUAGGGAUGGGCUGGUGGUGAAUAGUGACAUGGAGUGGGUAUGGGAGUGGUUGCUUGUGUCAUAGAAUAAAGGAAAGUCAACACUCCACCUUUGUACUUCACCCACUCUUUUGGAUAAGGUUUUAUCCUUAAAAAAAUGAUAAUUUAAUAAUUAUGGGUCCUUAUAUGUUAUAAUAAAGUUUUGGGUGAAAAUCCGGUGUUAAAACAAUUAAAAACGGGCCUAAAACGCGAAAUUAGUCGAAAACCAGGAGAAAAAGGCCGUUCCAGCGAGACCUCUUGGUCCUAGGCCGAGGUUCGGUCCCUAAUGCAGCUAGGCGCGAAGCGAUGGGGGGGCGAGGAAGCGAGAGGCGAAGGGUCAGUCCGAAGGCUCGGUCCGAAGGGUCAGAAGCGAGGGCUNCUAAGAGGGGUUUCGGUUCCUAAGAGGACUUUCGGGUCCUAAGAGGGGUUUCGGUUCCUCAAGUCCGUUUUUCGCGUAGACUUCCGUUUUUUGGCUGUUUUCGCCAAAUUCGAGAGUCGGGAUGCCCCGAGUGAUUAUAGAAAGUUGAGAGAGAUUUCGAGAGAGAUUUGGGAGAGAUUUGUCAUACUUGGAGAGAUUUAGCAUACAUAGAGAGAUUUGGGAGAGAUUUGACAUACUUGGAGAGAUUUCUCAUACAAGGAGAUAUUUGGGAGAGAUUUCACAUACUUAGAGAGAUUUGGGAGAGAUUUGACAUUCUUGGAGAGAUUUCUCAUAUAAAGAGAUAUUUGGGAGAGAUUUCACAUACUUAGAGAGAUUUGGGAGAGAUUUGACAUUCUUGGAGAGAUUUCUCAUAUAAAGAGAUAUUUGGGAGAGAUUUCACAUACUUAGAGAGAUUUGGGAGAGAUUUGACAUUCUUGGAGAGAUUUCUCAUAUAAAGAGAUAUUUGGGAGAGAUUUCACAUACUUGGAGAGAUUUGGGAGAGAUUCUCGAUAAGAAGAGAUGGAGUAAAAACGAUUCAGAGCGGUUUUGUGUGUGACGAAUGUGAGUGUCCGGCUUCGCAAUGCAAGGUCCGUAAACCCCGUUAAGCCUUGUUUAAGGAUCUUGCAUACUCCCGAUGAGUAUGCAACAUUGUUUUAUCGGUUUGGCUCGCCACGUACCACAGUUUUAGGUUAAGGAGAUCUAGAUGUACACACUUUUUGAUUUAUGAUCUCUCAUUAGAACAACGAGUUGUUUAGAAAUUACAUAACGUAAACUCUAGUACCUACGGGCAAAUCGAGUUGACCGUUUUGACUUGUUGACUUUAGUUGAUUUUAACUUGACCGAAAAUUGACGGUUGUCACAUUAGACGUAGCAAAGGACUAAGAUUUUGAGAUCUUCUAUCAUCCGGGCAAGGCCAAUGUGGUGGCCGAUACCUUAAGUUGGAGGGCAGCGAGUGCCCCGAUGCGAGAUGUAUGUAUGAGGAUGACAGUGAUGACUCCAGUUUUAGAGAUCAUCAAGGAAGCACAAUCGAAGGCCAUAAAAGAAGAAAACUGUAAGAGUGAGUGGGUGAUUGGUUAGGUUUCGAAUUUUAAUAUGGAUAUUUGAGGGAUUUUACUUUUCAUGGGUGGGUUUGGUUACCGUGUGCGGGUGGGAUAAGGCGGAUUUUGAUGGAGGAGGCCCAUAAAUAGAGAUUUACUGUCCACCCGAGGGCCACAAAUAUGUAUCUUAACCUGAAGGAUAAUUAUUUGUGGACAUGUAUGAAAAGAGAUGUGGCAUGGUUUGUGGAGAGAAGUUUGACCUGUCGGAUGGUCAAGGAAGAGCACCAGCGCCCUCAUGGUAAGUUGCAACCUCUAGAGGUUCCUUUAUGGAAGUAGGAAUAGAUCACUAUGGAUUUCAUUACUAAGCUACCGAGGACUACGAUGGGUGUUGACACUAUUUGGGUGAUAGUGGAUCGUUUAACAAAGAGUGCUCACUUCUUGGCCAUUAGUGAGAACUCUUCUACGGAGAAGUUACCCGAGAUUUAUGUUUGUGAGGAGGUUGCUCGGCAUAGGGUGCCGACAUCUAUUGUGUCCGACCGGGAUGUGCACUUUACUUCCAGAUUAUGGAAGAGAUUUCAUGAGGAGGUGGGUACCCGACUACAUUUUAGCACCGUGUACCACCCACGGACGGACGAGAAGAGCAAGCGGAUUAUUCAGACGCUUGAGGAUAUGCUGCACACCUACAUUAUUCAUUUCGGUGGGAGUUGGGACUCUUAUCUUCCGUUAGUUGAGUUCUCUUAUAAUAACAACCAUCAUGCCAGUAUCGGUAUGACCCCAUUCGAGCUCCUUUAUGGUCAGAGAUGUCGAACUCCUAUUUGUUGGGGUGAAGUGGGUCAGAGAGUCAUGGGGAGCAUGGAAGUCAUGCUCAAGACGACUGAGCUCAUACAACAGGUUCGGCAGAGACUUUUGAUCGCGCAAAUCCGCCAGAAGAGUUAUACGGAUCGGAGACGCAAUGAGUUAGAUUUUUAGGUAAGGGACUUUGUGCUCCUUAAGGUAUCACCCUGGAAGGGUGUUAUCUGCUUCGGGUAGCAGGGCAAGCUGAGCAGAAGAUUCAUUGGUCCUUUUCGAGUGUUCUCUCGUGCGGGAAAGGUUGCUUACCGGUUGGAGCUACUAGAGGAGUUGAGUAAGAUCCAUGAUACCUUCCAUGUAUCCCAGCUGAGGAAGCGUAUAGCCGAUGAGGCGGCUGUGGUUCCAUUGGAGGACAUUCAGGUCGGCAAUCGCCUGAAUUAUGUGGAGAAGCUUCUAGCCAUCUUUGAUCGUAAGGUGAAAAAGUUGAGGAAUAAGGUCGUGAACUUGGUAAGAGAUCAGUGGCAGCACCGUAGAGGUUCGAAAUGGACAUGGAAACUGGAGUCUGAGAUGCGUGAGUAGUAUCCUGAGUUGUUUCAGGAGGAUGAAUUUGAGGGAGAAGUGUGAUUUUAGUGCUGGAGAAUUGUAACUUUCCAAAAUGAGGUACUAAUAGAACCCAUUUUGACGAACAGUGGAUGCGGAAGAAUAAUAUCUCGAGAUUUAACGGAUAUAAAAAUGUAGAACAUGAAGAACAUAUGAUGAGAAAUUCCAUAGAUCAGAAAAGAGAGAUAAAAUAUAACAUUACAAGAACAUGGGUGGGAGAGGAGACUCUCCCUUGGUGGGAGAGAUCCCACCACUUUUUCUCUCUCUCUAGAAAAGUUACAUUUUUAGUGCACACAUAAGAAAAUGACCAACUCUCCCUUUAUAUAGGAGGGAGAAAAUACACCUACAAUACAAUAAAGGGAAAUAAAUAACCUAACUAUCACUCAUUAUUUGUAGAGCAUUUCCAUGCUCCAAAAUUCUCUCCUUAAAUGCUCGCAAAUGAUGAGGGAUACAAUAAGUGACACAAGGCUAUAAUAUAGUAAUCCGACUAGCGAGUGUGGUAGUAAAAUUAAACAUAAUGAGAACCAAAUGUUGAAAUGUCUCUAAAAAUUUGAAGUGUCUGUAAUGUAUGAAAUUGGCAAUGAAUCUCUAAACAGUGAAGGUCUUCGGCUUCAAAGCACCACCAAUGAAGCAGAAAAAUAAAUUCCACAUGUUUAAUAUACAUGAUUCGUCAAUCGAAGAUCAAGAGAGACAAGUCAUAAAAGUCCCAUAAAUUGAAGAAUGUGAAACAACUUUGUUGAUCAGUCGUCCUUGCAGUGCAAACGUCACAAAGAUUAAUUUAAAGUCUGACUGCAGUAUGGAGUAAUCUUUAUGGAAAGAUUCUUCCAAAAUAAUCGGCAUGGAGUAAACCAAUGUCACUAUCCAAGGUUAGGUUGUGGCAAAAUCUGGUGAUAAAAAAAUUGGUUUUAAAAAAAUUGGUUUUAAUAAAAAAAAUUGGCUAAAUAAAAAAAUGGUGUUAAAAAAAUAUUUGGCUAAAUAAAAAAAUUGGUGUUUAAAAAAAUAAUUGGCUAAAUAAAAAAUUUGGUGGUAAAAAAAUAAAAAAAAAAUUUGGCUGAAAAAAAAAUUGGUGUAAAAAAAAUAAGAAGGCUUUAAAAGAAGGGGUUGAUGAGAGGGAAGGAGGGAAAGAAAGAAGGAAGGAGGGGAGGAGGAGGAAGGAGGGAAAGAGGAAGGGUUGAGGAUGUAAAGAAGGAUGAAGAAGGAAGAGGGAGGUGGAGCUGAAGAGAUUAGAGGGUUGGAGUUGAGAAGGAGGAGGAUCAGAGGCAAAAAGGGAGGGUGCCGAUGGAGGGUUGGUUGCGGAUGAGAGGGGCGGUUGGAAGGGGUGGGUGCGGAUGAGGCUUGCUUAUGGAUGAAGACUACAGUCGAUGAAGACUGCAGUAGCAAGGGAUGUGAGCUACGGAUGCAAGCUGCGGUAGCGCGAAGAACAAGCAAGCGAAUGCCUGCGGACCAACGCUGCGGUCUGAGGCUACUGUCUGAGCCAAAAAGAGAGGACUCGAGUAGCUGACUGCGGUCCGAAUUUUUACGGUCAGCAGAGAAGGUGAGGCUGCGUUCCAAGGACUGAGAAGGGCUACGGGGAGGCUUCUUAGGAGGCUCCGGUAGGCAGUUUUUGGUUGUGGUUCGGGAGCCGAGAUGGGUUGGACAGAUGACGAAAAAUGCUAUUUUUCAUGAAAAAAUGAUGCCAAAAAGUCCAUUUAUUCAUAUUUUAAUGAGGGGAAUCUUUUUUAAAGCAUUUUAGGUCAAAAAGAGGUCUUGGGAAGGCAAAAAGAGGAGUAUGCAAGUGGUGUUAAGGGGACAAAAGUAUAUGGGAUUAGUCAAGUCACAUGGUUUUAUCUUGGGACGGUAAAUAAAAGUUGAAUACUCUUUACCAAAAGGAGUAACAAGGACAUGUGGCUUUAUGCAAACCAAAGACUCACGUCCAUACAUUCUUCAUAAAGAUCUAUAGCAACAAUUUGUUUAUGAACAAGAAAAGUUCAUACAUUUUGGAUGAACAAAAGUUACUGGGAAAAGUCUUCAAGAAAAAUGCUCCAACUUCAUCAAUAAAUGCCCAAAAUUUGUGUCUCAUUUCCAAGAAUAAACACCUCCUGGAACAAGUUCUUCAACAUUUUUAGAGACCAUUAAAAUUUUGUUUUCUUCUCUCAUUUUCCUUCAUUUCUUCAAUCAGCAAAAUAAGAACAUUAAGAACACGAUUUUCAUCAGAAAAUUUGAACAAACAUCAGCAACAAAUUUAUUCUUCUAAGCACAAAACAACACCAGAAAAUAGAAAACUCAUCAUAAAAUUUCCGGUUUGGACCCAAAAAUUCUUGCAAAAAUCCGAAAAAUCUUCAAGAUAAUCACCGAACGGGAGUCGUUCCCUUGAACUAGUCGCUUGAACCCUCAAGAUACGACUCUAACCCCAAUUGAUAGAACCCAUUUUAACGAACGGUGGAUGCAGAAGAAUAAUAUCUCGAGAUUUAACGGAUAUAAAAAUGUAGAACAUAAAGAACAUAUAAUGAGAAAUUCCAUAGAUUAGAAAAGAGAGAUAAAAUAUAACAUUACAAGAACAUGGGUGGGAGAGAAGACUCUCCCUUGGUCGGAGACAUCCCACCACUUUUUCUCUCUCUCUAGAGAAUUUACAUUUUUAGUGCACACAUAAGAAAAUGACCAACUCUCCCUUUAUAUAGGAGGGAGAAAAUACACCUACAAUGCAUUAAAGGGAAAUAAAUAACCUACGUAUCAAUCAUUAUUUGUAUAGCAUGUCCAUGCUCCAACAGGUACAAUUAACAUUCUUGAAUCUUUCCUUAUUAUGUCAAAAUUAGUCCCUAAAUGUGAAAGGUUGGCAAUUCAGUACGCGAGGCGUACGCAUGAGUACACGCAACGUACUCAUACACAAUGCAGAAUCGUGGACGUCACUUAGUACGAUGGGCAUACUAGGCUCAGAUGCAAACCCUAAUAUUCAUUUGUCCCCAUUAAAUAUAACAUGAUGGUCUCAUUUCUGUACACACUUAUCAGCCUCCAGCCCUCUUUAAAACCCUAAUCUUGUGUGUGUGGCUUGUGAGUGUGAUUUUGCAAGUUUUGAGAGAUUCUUGUCUCUUGUAGUUGAAGAAGAAGGUUAGAAAAGAAGAAGAAGGUGCCAUCAAGCUUAGAGAUCCAGAAACCUCCAACCUUUGUGCAUCAUUUUCAGGUAUAAAGUUUAUAACUUGGCUAGUGUUCUUCAAGAUCUCUUUAGUGUAAGAUUUAUGAGGUUAAGUCCCCAAAAUUUGGAGCUUUUUAAGUUUGAGACUCUCCAGGGAGUUUAAGUUGUCCAUUCAUGCAUCUUUAGGCUUCUAGGUUGAUAAAAAUGUUUGCUUGAUCUUACCUUUGGCCCCAUGCAUAAGUAAUGUACCUUGGAAUACAUGAAAUGAUGUUUUAGCCUCUCCUAGCCAUUCAAAUUCUUAAAGCCCACAACUUUAUAUAUUAAGAGGUCUUAAAUUAGUCAGAUCUAUGGAUGGAGUGGUUGUCUUAACAGAUUAAAACAAAAAAAAAAUAAGGAAAUAGAAGUGCAUGGAGUACACUGUAGCUACUCCCAAUUACACGCAAUGUAAACGGAGAUGCUCUGUCACAUGCUUAGCCAGGUUGUACACCCAACGUUAGGGGUAGUACGGCCAGCGUACUCGCUGGGUAUUGACUUUUGUUGAUUUUGACUUUUGGUUAAAAUUUAGGGUUUUGGACCUAGGAAGGGGAAGAAUGGUAUUUUUCCCUUAUUAGGUUUAAACGUGGACCUUGAACUCGUGAGUGGUUUGGACCAUAACUUCAAUAAAGGUUAAUUUCUUUGUUAAUUUGGCGAAGUCUAGAUUCGAAAGCUCGGGUGCUAGGUUUUCAUGUCAUCAGUAUCAGGUGAGUCUCCUCACUUACUCUUUAUAGUAGGCUAGCUAUAAUAUCAUGACCAACUAGGUCUAGUUAUUAUGUUAUGUUAUAUGUUGAUAUGAUAUUUGUUUGUGACUAGGGAUGUUGAUAGCCAACCGAGGGUUACGGAUAACCUUACAAGCGUGUUGUUAGCUCACUAGGAUUGCUGAUAGUCCCAGGGUUGCAGAUAGCCCACAAUUAUUUACUUAUGUUAUUUUAUAUGUGGUAUCUUGGGGAGCUCACUAAACUUUAUGAUUACAGUUGUUGAUUUGUAUGUGGCAGGUACUUCGUAGAACCACAGGAAGGCGAAGCUCUGAUUUUACACAUGCACUGGGAAUUUACUAUCGGUACAAGAUCUUUUAUGUACUUUGAUAACUAUGAUAUUUAUGGUUUUGAGAUGACUUGUAAUUGAUCUGCUUGUGAAACUAUGUUUUUAGAAGUUUUAAAAAUGAAAAAUUUGGUUUGAAAUUUGAGGUGUUACAUAUACCAUAUUAUCACAAUAAAGUAUACGACUAUUCUUUCAUCCGAAUUAACUAGAUCUAAAUAUUAUUUAUAUGUCUUAGUUUAGAACAUAGACGAGACUCCAAAACUUGUAAUCAACAUUUAAUAUUAACUUUUGUUUAAAAGAAACUUAUUGUAAGUUAUUAUAUAUUCUUAACAUUGAGUAUUUUUUUAACAUGUAGUAAUCUUUUAAGUAACAGUACUUAUUUUUAAGACUAUCUAGUAAUAAUAACAUAUAAAAUUUUAACAAAUAGUUAAUCAUAACCGUAUCACACAAUGCAUGUUAUUAAAUACACAUUUAAUAAAUAUUCCUAAUAAAAAACAUUUCAUUCAUAUAUAAAACAUCUACAAAUAUUUAAUACUUUUAAUAAAUACUUGAAUUAAAAUAAUAUUCAUAAAAGUAAUUAUGUCCUCACUUGAUAUAGGUGGAAGACUCAUGGGAAAUACAGAUCUUUGACUAACACUUCAGAUUCACUUGUAAAACGACCUUAACAUGAAUAUUACCAAGCCUUAAUAUCCGUUCGUAUUUAUAAUUUUAAUUGUUAUAAAGUUUUUUAUUAGAUUUAUGAAUAAUACCAAAAGAACACUAAUAUAUAGUUGAUAAGAAACAACCAAGUAAGAUUUAUCGGAGGUAGGAUCCAUUUAGUAUAUAAAGAUAUAUUGUUUGGAAGAUCGACUUUAAACAAUCCACGAAUCUAGCCUUGUUAUAAGUCUCAUAAGUAAAUCAGUUAGUAUAACGACAGGUAUUACAGAUAGAUCUUAUUUAUAAGUUCAUAAUAAUGAUUAUAAAUAUAGAUAUAAGUUAUACUUAAAGCACAGUAAGCACAACUCAACUUAUAGGUUAUUUAAUGUAAAACUAGACAAUACGUUGGAAGAACUUCGAAAAUGAAAUCUCUAUUUCUUGAGGCCCUCUAACGCUCGAUAGCUUCACUAUUAACACCUAAGAAGUACUAGAACGGGGCCUCAGGGUCUCGUGACAGUUUAAGAGAAGAGGAAGAGAAGUGAGCAACAUUUAAGCGUAAAUUCGACCAUAUAUNNNNNNNNNNNNNNNNNNNNNNNNNNNNNNNNNNNNNNNNNNNNNNNNNUAUAUAUAUAUAGCAAUCACAAAAGGUUGUGUCGUGCCUAGGUUCACCACACCUAUGUCAUGUGUCACGAUUCUAUCAGUUGUUGUAGGGAGUAAGGGUUGAGUGUGAUGGAAACAUGUGUCACCCUCUUGUGGGGCCACGUGUCAACUUUGGUUGACUUGUAGAUACAAGCCCAGGAUGCCAAUACGAAAUCAGGUCUCAAUCACGUAUCAAACAACCUAAUGAUUGCUUGCGAAGGGAAGACUCCUUCUAACCCAAGAGACUCAAUUCUAGUGUUCAUGAAUGUGUUGGUUUCUUUCUUGAUUUAAUAAUCCCUAAAUCUCUGAAAUCUUCAUAGAUAAAAACUUUAUAGUCAUUUUUCAAUGCAAGGAUGGUUUUUUCCAUGAAUUUAGAAGAAACAGAAGGAAUACAUAAGCUUACUUAAGGAAUGAACUUGAUGCAUGAAAGAUGAAAGAAUAUAAUAGAAAAUUUAUAGAUAAACUAAUUGAUUUGAAUUUAAAUUUGUUGGGAAAUUGAACAGAUGUCCCGAAUUUCCAGCAGAUAAUAGCUAACUCACUAAAAUUAACGAUUCUAGAAAUCUCCAAUCACUCAUGACCCUGGAUUGAAGAUUUAUGGGGGUAAGUAUUGUGGGUAGAAUUUUCAGCUUACUAAUCUUACAUCUUAAACUGGAACUAACAUCCUACAAAGCUCAAUAUUUUAGAUUUACUUAGUGUCUUGGAUUGUCAUCGUUUAUCUUGUGAAAUCUUAUGUAGGGGUUGAAGACCCUUGAGAAUUCGGGUCAAAUGAAGAACAAGGAGAAUCCCAAUAUUCUUAUAACUUUAGUUAUUAUCGUUAUGUAUAAUGACUAGUUGAUUGCAAGCACAUAAGUACACAUACACACACACACACUUCUCACCACUCUCUGAUUAAAUCAACACUUGCGCAUAAACUCUUUCUCUUUAAGAUCAGCUUGCACUUGUACCUAUUUGUAUUGAUAUACUAUAAGUUCUGAGGCUGGUGAGUUUAUCACCUUUCGACGUUUUAUGCUAGUGAUCAUGAAGGAUUAAGGGCUUUCCUCGUAUAUUAUAACGUUCGUAUCUUGAGUUUACUUGUUAAUGACUUUUUAACAAAUCACAACACUUUUUGCACACUUAUUUCUAUGUUAUUCAAUUUACACAUUAAAAUAUCAUGAUAUCCCAUGGCAUCUUGAUAUCUUUUUGAGUACCUAUUACCUUUUUUUAUGUAUAACUCACUUGACAUUUAUCUUUUCACUAUUGUUUCCGAAUUACUUGAAAUACGCUUGUUCACCUUCCAAAAUGAAACAAUUCUUUUCGACAUUUUUCUAAAUAUCAUUAUCUUUUUCCAGGAUCUUGGGCACUAACAAGAUCUUUGGUGUAUUUUAAGAUCAUUAACACUUUGAUUCUCAAUAUCAUAAAAUUAACAUCACACCAAAUUGCUAAUUUGCUUACGAAAUUAGGUUGUUAAUUUUUGAUCAAAACAUGAUAUAUAUUAUAAUACAUCGUAUAGUAAGAUAACUCACUUGAAUAGUAUCGAAACAGUGAAGUAUGUAAUUUUGCAAGCUAUUUGACCAACACGUAUCAACCAAUAAUAUACUUUAGAUGUUAUUAACUAUUUGACUAUAGUAACUAAUAUUUAGAUUCUUCAUUAAUCCUAAAGAAUACUUUAAGUUAUAUAUGAUAAGGUACAAGUCAACAAUGCUAGCGUCUUAAGUUCUACGGCGUCAACUUAUAAUAUAGUUACCCGAUUGUAAUAUUUUGUAUAAUAGGCAGUUAUUAUAGAUAAAUAUAGAACAUAUAUCACAUAUGUAAUCUUUGUUAUAUGGAUCUGAUCAUUAGUACAUAUUAGAGGCAAUCCCUUCAAUCAAGUGAUAUACAUGUAUAGAUUAGUAUAUAUACAACAUUGGGGAAACCCUAAUGUCGUGGGUUAGUGAUCGUGGCUUUGUGUCAAUCGUCUUUGUGACAAACCCAUCUUCUUGGUGCAGACAAAACCUCUUUUCUAGGUAAAAGGAUCAAUUUGGAGAACUUUCAUGUUAUUUACUUUCUGUUGAUUAUUUUGCUUAUAUUAUUUUUACGUUUCUUAUUCAUACAUGAAAUAUCUCCAAUCAAAUACAAUCCUUUAAUUGGUAUCAGAACAGGUUUUUGAUCAACUCAUGUUAUUAUGUCGAUUUCAAGCAAUUUAAAAUCCUUUGGUUUCAACAAAAUUCCUACAUUCGAUGAACACAACUUUGUUGUGGGGAAAACGAAGGCCAUGGUGGUUCUUGAAACCAUUAACUAUGAGAUCAAAAAUAUUUUUGAAAAAGGUCCCCAUGUCCCUAUGUACCAACCCAUGGCAAACAAUGCUCCAGGUUGCCCCUGAAGCAAAAGCCAACAACAAGUUAUGAUGGCGAUGACAAAAGUUUGCUCAGUCUUAAUGUGAAAGCCAGGGAAACUAUUGGAAAAUAUCUUCCAUACCAUGUGUAUCAUCUCAUAUAGAAUUGUGAAUCGGCACAAGAGAUGAUGGACACACUGACUGUAGCUUAUGGAGGCACUGUGGAAGUCCAGGCUACGACUAUCAACAAUCAUAAUCGAAGAUACGAUCAUUUAUUUACUCAACAAGGUGAGUCUCAUGCCCAAACCUCCAAUAAGUUUAAAUGUUUGGUCAAUGAUAUGCACAACAUGGGAAUCGUUAAGCACUCAUCACAGUUGGUUCUGAAGUUUCUCGAUUCUCUUAGGAAAAGUUAGGAACAUCACGCUGAUGUUCUUAACAACUAUGAGAAGAUGGAUUCUGUGGAUCUAAAUUCAUUUUUUUUGGUAAUCUUCAAAAUUAUGAAAAGAACAAAGCUCUUCAUAAGGAAAUCAUAAAGGAAUCCAGAAAGGAAAAAUAUGUUUCCAUAAUGUCUCGAAAGGAAAUAAGGAAGACCGUCAUCGACUCAAAAAAUCCAGACCGUGGUAAGCAAAUUAAUGAAGUUUUCACCGAUGAGCUUCUCGUCAGCGAUGCACUUAUCGUCAAGAGUUAUUACGAAAGCAAAGAAGACAGGGUUAUAAGAGCUUAAUUCAAGGGAAAAGCUCAGCAAAAAUAUCCACUUCAGAGAAGAAAAGCUCAGGUAAUUGCUUCAAUUGUGGCAACCUUAACCAUUUUUUCAGGGAUAGCAAGGAGAAGAAAGAAGCCUAGAGUCCUGCGAGCUAUGAAGUUUUGUACAAGAAACUGGUGGCUCAUAUGAAGAAGAAAAACAUCUCUCUUCCAAAAGCUUUCAUUGCAAAACAAGAGGACCAUAAAGAAUGGGUGGAUAAAGAGGAGACAUAUGAAGAUGAGGCACUGAAUGUUAGCGGUGUCAUGGCUCUUUUAAAUGAUUCCCCUAAUGGCAUUUGUGACGUUGAUGGUUCGCAUACUGAUGAAGGAUAAAGUCUAAAUCUAGCUCAAACUGGUACCUAGAGAAUGGAAGCUCUAGACACUUAACCGGUUACAAGUCCCUCUUAAAACAUUUUACAAAGAAGGAUGGACCAAUGGUAACCUUUGGUGACAAUAGUGGAAGCUCUAUUUCUGGUUUUGGAAUGUUUGAAUGUAGAAUGAUUAAGCUGGAGGACAUGUUUUAUGUAUAAGGUCUUAAAAUCAACUUCAUCUCCAUCAAUCGACAUUGUGAUGUUGGUUAGAAUCUUCUUUUUAACUUUCAUGAGGGAAAAGUGUUUGAUUCUGAAAACAAUAUCAUCCUUUCUUCUCUCAGAGAGAACGAUAUUUAUAUGGUUUGAUUUGUUGAUUUUGACGCUGAUACUUCAUUUUGGUUUUAUACUUUGCUACUUUUAAAAUUUUGAACAUAAGCUACUACACAUUUAUUUUUUUUGGCAUGUUUGCAUUAAAAAUUUCUCUUAAUGUUUACCAAAGAAGUAUACAUUGUGAAUACACUUUCUUUUUCUUCUAACAUUUCCUACAUGAUCUUCUCCACAAUAGUGACCUUAUCUGAAUGAUCUACUUUAAAGAGAUCAGCAUACCAUUCCUUGAAUGCAUCACUCUCCUUGUGAAUCCAUUUGAUGCUGACUCUGCAUCUUUUCUUUAGCACCAAUUGCCCUCUCACUAACAUUGAUGCACAUGUUGAUUAACAUGUUGCUUCAUGUUGAUCAGAACAGAUGGGGAAUAACUGUGCCAAAGGAUGUUCUUCUGGGCACAUAUGUCCUCUAUCUUGAAUAGCAUAUUUCUGUUUCACUAGGAUAAGAUGAAUUUAGGUGAUCUGGCAUGACUAAUUUCCAUAGAUUUUCUCACUUCAACUUCAUCACCUCAAAGAUCCAAAGACGUCUUCAAGAAGACAGUGAUCCCACCUUCUCCUCCUUUACAGAUCUCAAUGUAUGGAACCUUCGAUAUUUGUCUUCGUGACUCUCAUAACUCUAACGUGACAAAGAUUGGAUCCGUCUAAGUCAUUGGUCAUAAAGACUGGUUCAUGUUCUUCUUUUGUUCUUGGUGAACCUGAAGCUUGGAAUCAAUCUGUAGAAUCUCAACGAUUAAAGGCAUUCUUUCUCUCUUUAUUUACUAUGAUUUGUGUUAUUGUAUGAUAUGGAUGAUCUUUCUUGUUCUCUUUUAUAGCUAAAAUUUCAAGUGGUAGAUAUAUCUGAAAAUGGAAAUGUAAUAAUGACCAUUCAAUUCCAAAAAUUUGAUGGAACGUGCCUUUAUCACCUUUCUGAAAAAGUUGCACAUAUUUCUCUAUUUAAACUAUUUCCUUGUUUGAAUAAUUCUUUUUUUUUGUAUUCUAAUAUUGUUUAUUCUUUUACACCAUUUUUUAAAGGAAUCUGAUGGUGGCAAUCCUAAGCCUAGUAUGCAACUUUUGACACUUCAUUGUCCCUAGAAGCAUGUUGUUGUAUGUGACUAAUCUUUCUAUGUUUCUCAUUAGCGAGACCAUCUGUUGAGAACAUUGAGUCACCCUCUCAUAUUGAUUGUUUAAUACUUUCUAAACCCUCAAAUCAAGAUAUCUUGGUCCAAAUAAAAAAUAUUGAUAAAAUGGAUAAGGUGUUUGUUUUUUUUCAAGUUAAUCAUCUUUACCUGACCCUGUCCCUGGAAGCAUGCUUUCCGUAUGCAUCAAGUCUCAAGUUCUGCUGAAACAUUGAGCAUAACCCAAUGCCUUACCCUGAUUGCAUAAUCAUCAACGUAAGAGAUACUUGUCAUGUCCUUAAAUGACAAUUAGUUAUUCAUGUCCCUGACCUCCUAGUUUGAGAUAGAGAUGGUACCAUUAUGAAUUAACGGUGAAUCCUUGAUUCUAGAUUGCAACUUACUAUAUGAUACAAGAGUUUAAACCACUUCUUGUUGACGAAUUAAAUUGUUAAUUGUAACACCCUGUUUAUUUAAUAAAUAAAUAAAUAAACAAAUUAAUGAAUGAAUAGUAGCCCAAAAACUAAUAAUUAUAUCGCAAGGUGCUGGUCUCGAGGAGUUAACUGUCAUAAUUUUAGAAAGCGGGGAUUAAAGUACAAAUCCGAACUUAAUUUGUAAGUAUUAUUGAAGGCAUGGACUAAAUGGUAACUUCUGGGACUUCAUUUGAAGAGAGUUUGGAGGCUAAGGGGCUGUUUGGUAAUUUAUGGAUCAAAAUUGAGAGGAAUUGUGGAAGCAAGGGUGUAAUUGGUAAAUCUUUUACCUAAAUUGUAAUGAAUUUUAAGGUUGAAGGCUGAAAGGGUAAAUUAUGGGUUAGUUUCGAAAUAAUUUCAUGAGGAAGGGACCAUUUAUGCCAUCAUGGCAAUCAUUCCCAUUGAUUCGGAUAUAUAAGCCUAACGAACCCUAACCCUAAUGUUAAAAUGCUCAGCCGUCACCUCCACCUUAUGCCUCCUUCAACUCCGGUGUCAUCACCACCCAUCUGGUCUGUUCUCCGACCACCUAGCACCAUCGAGCAGCCUCUAGACACCACUACUUCAUCAAUCGCCAUCAGCAACCAACACUAUCGAACCCUAUUGCCGCCUCGCUACUGCCGUUGCUGUAAGUCCCUAAUAUGCCCAUGUAUCAAUCAGAUCCGUUUGAUGGUGCAGAAUCCCAAUCAAACGGAUGAUGUCAGAUCAAAUAGAAGAGGAGAAGAAGAAGAAGAAUAUGAAUCUCUAUAUGAAUUGAUUAGAAUUAAAGUUCCAGAUACAAAAGAUUCACACACACAAAACAUCACUCUGGCCGUAAACUCUCUUCUGUUCAUCAAUCUCUAAUCCUCACCCUAACACCUAUAUUUAUACUUGGAGAACAUGGGCCGGAUAAAAUGGGCCGUAAAUGGGUUUACGGCCGUAAACACCUUAUGGCCGUAAACACCAAAUUGUUUACGGUCCAUGACACAAAAAAUUUAUUUUUCUAGAAAAGUAAAGUAUAAACCAUAUUUUUGACCCAACAAUCUCCCCCUUGGUUUAUAACUUUCUUUUCUUAAUUGACCCAACAAGAUCCCCCUAAAAGGUAGCUGGCUUUUCUUGUAAGUCUUCAUUGAGAGCUUGGCUUCAGCAUUAAUCUUCAAAUUCUUCACGACUUCAAGAUGCACUUGAUGAAUCUUUAAUGAAUGACUUCAUCUUGAGCAGUUGGGUUUUUCUUCACGAUGAACUUGAUGAAUCUUUAAUGAAUGACUUUGAACGCACAUUGGGUGAGGAGGCUUCUUGUACUGAUUCUUGAAAGAUGGCGCUUUCAGCUUGAGAAUCUUCAGAGAGAACAUCAGAGAGAACAAAUCUUCUGGAUCACUUCAGCAGGUUCAUAGAUAGCAGCAGACUGACUGAGGAGGCUUCAAUGCAAUCCGUCACAUAAUCUUCAAUUUCUGCUUCACUUUACUUCUGGGGUUGAAGGAUUGAAUGUCGAACAAAUAAUCUUCAUUUCUUGCUCCUUCGAAUGAGAAUUCUUCGAUGCUCACGGACGAAGCCUUGGCUCAGAAAUCUUCAACACAAACUCCAUGAGUUUCAUCUUCACCUGAAAUCACUUUUCAAGACAAAAUAAAACUAAAAGAAAAGUUAGAACAAAAAGUAACACAGAAAUAACACUAUUUUUUGAUUUUGAAUUUUUUUAUUUUUGUUUGUUUUUUUUAUUUUUUUUAACUUUUUUUAUUUUUAAUUCUCCCCUUUUAUUUAAAUUAGAAGAACACUAUGAACAAACUUAACAAAAAUAAAAAUAAUAGCUAACUUUAAGAGUGAUUUGGGAUCAAAGUUGUUAGACAUUCCAUACACUAGUGACCAAUUAGAAGUUGAUGACUAUGAAGGGUUUCUGGAUCUUGGUUUCAUGCAACAAGUUGUUGUUUCUACUUUUCCAUUAAAUGUUUUCCAUCUUGCUUCUUGUUUUGAGGGGGAGGUUUCUCAAGAGGUUCCUCAAGGAACAAAUAGUGACAUUGAUUUUGAUGAUGGUGUCCAACUCAGUCUUCAAAAAUAGAAGGCUUCCUUCUCAGGAAAGGGCGAGGGGGGCUCUUAACACUAAAGCUGGAAGUUCCUUUGCAGCUAGUGAUACCUCACCACCUCCUCAAAAGGAAAGAAAUAUCAUUUUUUAUAUGAAUUAGUUAGCAGACACAUGGAGCAUACAUAUCGAGAAAGUUAAACAAAUCAUGAUGGAAUACAAUGUUGUUGUUCGACAAAAGAAAGAAGACAGAAAACCAGAACACUUGUCUGCCAAACUUAUUCAAGAACUUUUUUUCGCUGAUAAGAUUGUUGAUGUUUAAAGCACUAAUAAUCAGGUCAAGAAGAUAUUUAAUAACAAUGUGGAAAACUAACACAUUGUUUCAAACCUAAAUGAUCAUAGAAAGAAGUUUGGAGAUGUUCUUACUCGAAGAACAAAGUUUGAUACCAUCAUAAAAGUAAGAUGCAUGAAGUCAAAGAACGAGUCAAUAAAUCUUUACAUGGUUAGAAAGAAGGAGAAAUUUGAAUACACUACGGUUGUAUUUGCUCGUGAGCUAGUCAAAUUUGGCUACAACGAGUGGAUGUAGAUUCUAGAAAUCAUCGACAAACAUUAAAGGGUUCACGCCCAAGAAGUGAAAUUAGCAAUCCAACAUCUUCUCCACAAGGUAAAGAAACUUAACCUGAUGCCAUCUGCUGGUCAAUAAACGAGUUCAUCUAAAUCAACCUCAUUAGGAAGAGUAGGCGCUCCAAGAUAGUCCAAUGAUGAAGAGAAUUGUCAACGAGAUUAUGAAAGCAAUUAUGAUUGAUUGAUUGAAAAGUAAGAACACAACGAGUAAAUAUUAAUCAGAUCUUAUAUUGAUGAAGACUGAUUACAAUGCUUUAAGCAGAAAGAAUACUCAAGUUCAAAAAUAUAUCUUUUCUACUUCUAUCCUCAUCCCCUAUUUAUAGGAAAACUGAGUGUACAAAAAAUAUACUAAGUCUAUUACAAUACACUUCGUAUAAAGCAGUGACUUAGUAAAAUAACUAAUAUGCGAAACUAAAAGAAACAACCACUUCGACUUUUUACAAUACAUAGACACUACAAUCUCCCCCUUUGUAAACAGUCGAAGCUAUUCAGUCCAUAAGCCUCUGAACAGCUGAGUGAAUUGUCUUUCGCACUUCACCAUACCAAGUAAUCACCUUCUUAAGCUCCCUCUUGUCUCCUUCGUUAUUCUUCUUGCAGUUAUUCAUAUGAACAAUAAAAUUCGUAUAUUGCGAAGAAGUAUAUCUUUUAUUUUCCGAGACCUUGAACAAAAUUUUCUUGGACUUCCCCUUUGUAUCUCUUCCUGAAAAUACCAUGCCAAAAGGUUUCAAGCAUAUUUCACCAACAGCAUACUUAGAUAAUGCUGACUGGGUCAAGGUAUCUUCCCAGGGGACAUUCACUUCCCUUCCCAAGGUCGUUCCGAGUUCUUCAUCGGUUAAUGCCAAACAGUCAAAGUAGUUAUCAAUAAAAGUCUUGACAUGUGCGAAGCCGAUUCUAAACACUUCAGUUUCAGAUCCUUUGAGCUUGGGAUCUUGCAUGUGUUUCAAAAUAAGAGCUACUUGGAUAAGAUCAUUGCAGUUCAUCAGAGGGAAGCCAGCUAUCGUAAAGUCAUAUUGUUUGUUAUCAGCUCGAAUGACAAAAUAUAGAAUGUUCUGAAGCAUGUCUUCAAACAUCGAAUCCUUCUUAAUUGUCAACACCUUUUUAAUCUUCAUCAAGGACCAUACUUCAUCUGGAUUCUUUCCCAAUACAGCAUGAAAUCUGAUUUUCAUGUGUAUGUAGUCAUCAGCAUUAUCAAACUUCUCACUUAUCUUGUACUGAGCUAUUAUGAGUAGCAUUUCAUUAAUCGGAAAAUCCAACUGGCAUUUGUCCAAAUUCGCAAUACAUCUCUCUCCCCACCACUUUCGACUCUAUAGUUUCAUAAGAAUAAAGCUUCACAGGAUCUCCUUUAUUCAUUGUGGGAGGAUCACUUGCCCUUUGCCUCAUUAUGCUCUGAACUUGCCUCAACCUUUCUAUUUCAUCCUCUGCUUCAGCUUUCUUCUCCUUCUUCGACUUUUCAUACACAAUCCCUUUUCCUUUUCCCACAUCAUCAGUUGGAGGUUUCGCACUAGAACUUCCUUCUUUUGACCCAAUAGAUAUUCCUUUGGAUAUUGGUCUUGUGGUCAUUAUUGUUGAGGAAAUUGGCAUUGUGAAUAUUGGAAGAGUAGUUUUGAGCUGAGUGGAUAUCACUUUCCCCACAGUCUUCGCAUCAUCCUCUUUACUUGUAUUCUUCUCUCCCCCUUGCACCCCUUUGAAAGCAGGUGGGGCAUUCUUCGGUAGUAAAGAGGUAAAGUUCGCAAUAGGAGCAAGUGCCUUCUGAAUUGCUUGUUCCAAAGUAUUGACUUUGAGAGACAAGAAUUCAGGAGUGAGAAUGGUCUGAGAUGUAGGUUGUGAAAUCAAAGUUUUCAACUCAGUCAUCAACUGAAUCAACUGAUCGAAUUUCUCCUUGUUUUCUUUCUGAUUGGCUUCAAGAAUCGGAGUAGGAGAUUGAAAAUCAUUGAUAACUUUGUUCAGGGCUGUUGCAAUCACAUCAACCCUCUUCUGUACUUCCAAAUUUUGAGAAGUAAUAUCUUGAAGCUCCUUCGCAAGUUCUUUCUUUAAUUCCUCAACUUUAAAGUUGACAUCCUCCUUAACCUUCUUUACAUCCUGCACAAAAAGAACGUGAUGUUCUUUUGCAACAGUUUUCAAUUCCUUAACAGCACCAUUAAAUGAACUCACUUGAGCUUAAAUGCGAAGCUCAUUAUUCUUAUCUGACUGAUCAGCUUUAUCAAGUAUUGUCUUUUCAGCAGCAUUGAUCAUAGCUUCAACCUCCAAUCCUGAUAGAGAUGACGUUGUACCAGAAUCAGCUUGUGACUGAAUAAUGGCAUUCAACUUUUGAUUUAGGAUUUUGAAUUGCUUUCCUGUCAUAAGCAUAUGAUCAGGUAUCUCCUCCUCCUCUGAAUCAAAAUGUAAAUCCUAAAAUAUUCCUCCAAAACCUCUUCCUUCGGUUUCAUCAUCGGACAUGGGUUGCGAAGGUUAAGCAGUUUCGUGUGAUUGUGAUGGAAAUAAGGUUGUGAAUGGAUGUUGUAGAGGAUGAUAAAAAAUGGAUGAGGUAGAAAGUGUAGGAGUUGGAAGUGAAAACGGUGGUAAUGAAGUAGAUACCUUCGCAAAUGAAAAAGGUAUUGAAACAGAUAGGCUAACGGGAAGAGUGGUUUCAACACUUGUGUUAGGUGCCCCCGUAUCAGAUACGUUUACAACCGUAUCAGAAAUAGGUACCUUGUGACAACUGUCAAUUGAGGUCAUUUUCGGACUCAUGCAUCUUUAUAAAAACCAUUCAUGCACAACAUGCCAUGACCUAGUAGUAUAAAUUAGGUCAAAAAUCUUGCAUAAACUAGGAUCCAACUAAGGUCUAGGACUAAUAUACUUGAUACUUAUAAUUCUAGUAAGUUGCUUAGCUACAAUAGGAAAUGCCAAUACUAUAAUUAGAAUAAAGCUUCAAGCUUUGUUAUAAUUGAAACAUGGUAUAAAACCCUAAAAAAAAAUAAUAAAAAAUAAAUUAAAACAUUCUAAUUAUACUUCAACAUGUUGUUGAAUAUCAAACAAUAUUCCAAAAACCCUAAAGAGCCAAAAAUCCAAAGUUAUAAAUUAUAAAGCUUAAAAACUUUAUAAAAUUUGGCUAUAAACUUCCUAAUAUCAAAUUUUUAUUAAUCAAAUUAUGAAUUAUAGUCAAUGAAAUAGAAACUAAAUUACCAAGUAUUAAUCAUAAUUCAUUUGUUGAAAACAAGAUUUUAAAUAAAUCCAAAUUUGCUUAAUAAUCACUUUUAUAAAAAUUAGAUUUUUAUAAAAAUUAAGGAGGGAUUUUUAUAAAAUUUGAAUUGAGGAGAGAGAAGGCCCUAAUCCACUCAAAAAUCUGGCCAUUCUCCCCUCCCCAUGCUCCCUCUUCCCAAAAACUUCAAUCAUUAAGUCAAAACCCUCACUCCACCUCUUCUUUCUCCACUCUCUUACACUCCACUCUUCACACACUUCACUCUCUUCUUCCCUCUCUCUAAACUCACGAAAAUCCUCUCAUUUCUCUGCAAAAUUUCGAGAUUGUGAAGCCCUUGAAGUGUUCUUACUUCUCUCAAGGUCAAAACCAAGGUAAACAACAACAUCUUCUUCCAUAGUUUCAUGGUUAAACCUCUUUUUCUUCUUAGUCUUCUCUACUUUUCGGAUUCUAUGCCUUUCCAUGACUAGAAAUCUUUAUUCUCCCCUUGUGGUUUGUAGAUUCUCACCAUAACACAAUGCAUGUGUUAGAGAUGGUGAAAAUCCGGGAUCAAACCCAUGCAAGGAGUGAAAAAGAUGCACAUAUGAUCAUGUGACAUCAAAACCUAAUAUUUCAUGUUCUUCUCCAUUUCUUUUGUGUUCAUGCAUGAACAAAAGCAUUUAAACCAUUUCUAGUACAUCUUGGAUGCUCAUUCAUUCCAUGCAUGUGUUAGAAAUCGGGCCUUACCAAAGACAUGCAUGAUGUUCUUGUUGAAAUACCCUAAUAAUGCACACAAGCAAACAUGCAAUCUGCCAGAUUACUUUGUUCGACUUUGAACAGUCAUAACUCAGUCAUUUCUUAACCAAAUCAUGAUAUUCUUUUUGUAUUGGUUAGUUCCACGAGUUAACUUUCAAACCCAACUGGUCUUACUGUAAAAUAUUAAAUAUCCGAUUUUUGGCAAUUUUUACAAAAAGAUUGCGCAUACAGCUCUUUUUCUGUGAUCACUAUUUUUGUCUUGCAUAAUCAAUGGCCUUAAACCCAACCAUAAAUCUGAGGAAAAAUACCUUAGAAACUUAACAUAUCUAGUGAAUGAUGGUUGAAAUUUCGUGGCUUAAAACCUCACUGAAUGGGCUACAAAAAUUCAUGAACCUCAGCCACAUCUACACUUCAUGCAUUAUUGCAUGCAACUUUUCUUAAAUUGUUUGGAAUCAUUACCCUCAUUUCUCUUCUGAAUACAUUUUUUUACAUUUUUCCUUUUGAAAGCCCUUGCAUGCAUGAGAUAAUCUGGAAAAUUUCAAGAGCUUUUGUUAUUUCUUUGAUUUAUUAGAGUUAUUGCUAAAACCAAGGGCAUAAAUCAUAUAAAAUACUUACAGAGGUCAAUAAAUCCUAAAUAAAUUCAUGGACGAUCCUUAUGGGGAAUAAUGACCCCUCAACAAACUUAAGCAAUUUUUGUUACUGUUUAAUACGACUUAUAAUUUUCUUUUGUUUAGGACAUGAUAAAUUACAAAACCACUUUAGAGGAUAUGAAAAUUGUAUCUAAGAAUUUUCGCAUACCUUACCUGUGAUGGGUGACGCCAGAAAAUAAUUUCAAGAUUUUUCAUCAUGUCUUACUAUUUUUCCCAAGUUUUGGUAAUUAUAAUGGUCUAAAAAUGGGAAAAAUAGUUCUGAUUAUCCAAAAUUCAUGAAAAUUUACUAGGAUAUCAUAUUAUACAGUAGGAGGUUACAUAAAUAUUUUGACGAUUUUUCUCUACUGUAAACUAUUUUUCUCUUAUUUUCUAAAGUUAAUUGCAUUAAAAUGCACUUAAAUAUGCAUAAAUACCCAAAACCAGUUUAUACAUUAUGAAAACCCCUUUUAAUAUUUUUCCCAGGAUAUUUAUACUGUAAAUGAUGUUACAAAAAUUUAUGGUGAUUUAUUUUAACUGUUUAAUAUUAUUUCUUCAAUUAAUGACUAUUUAAAGGAAUAAANNNNNNNNNNNNNNNNNNNNNNNNNNNNNNNNNNNNNNNNNNNNNNNNNNNNNNNNNNNNNNNNNNNNNNNNNNNNNNNNNNNNNNNNNNNNNNNNNNNNNNNNNNNNNNNNNNNNNNNNNNNNNNNNNNNNNNNNNNNNNNNNNNNNNNNNNNNNNNNNNNNNNNNNNNNNNNNNNNNNNNNNNNNNNNNNNNNNNNNNNNNNNNNNNNNNNNNNNNNNNNNNNNNNNNNNNNNNNNNNNNNNNNNNNNNNNNNNNNNNNNNNNNNNNNNNNNNNNNNNNNNNNNNNNNNNNNNNNNNNNNNNNNNNNNNNNNNNNNNNNNNNNNNNNNNNNNNNNNNNNNNNNNNNNNNNNNNNNNNNNNNNNNNNNNNNNNNNNNNNNNNNNNNNNNNNNNNNNNNNNNNNNNNNNNNNNNNNNNNNNNNNNNNNNNNNNNNNNNNNNNNNNNNNNNNNNNNNNNNNNNNNNNNNNNNNNNNNNNNNNNNNNNNNNNNNNNNNNNNNNNNNNNNNNNNNNNNNNNNNNNNNNNNNNNNNNNNNNNNNNNNNNNNNNNNNNNNNNNNNNNNNNNNNNNNNNNNNNNNNNNNNNNNNNNNNNNNNNNNNNNNNNNNNNNNNNNNNNNNNNNNNNNNNNNNNNNNNNNNNNNNNNNNNNNNNNNNNNNNNNNNNNNNNNNNNNNNNNNNNNNNNNNNNNNNNNNNNNNNNNNNNNNNNNNNNNNNNNNNNNNNNNNNNNNNNNNNNNNNNNNNNNNNNNNNNNNNNNNNNNNNNNNNNNNNNNNNNNNNNNNNNNNNNNNNNNNNNNNNNNNNNNNNNNNNNNNNNNNNNNNNNNNNNNNNNNNNNNNNNNNNNNNNNNNNNNNNNNNNNNNNNNNNNNNNNNNNNNNNNNNNNNNNNNNNNNNNNNNNNNNNNNNNNNNNNNNNNNNNNNNNNNNNNNNNNNNNNNNNNNNNNNNNNNNNNNNNNNNNNNNNNNNNNNNNNNNNNNNNNNNNNNNNNNNNNNNNNNNNNNNNNNNNNNNNNNNNNNNNNNNNNNNNNNNNNNNNNNNNNNNNNNNNNNNNNNNNNNNNNNNNNNNNNNNNNNNNNNNNNNNNNNNNNNNNNNNNNNNNNNNNNNNNNNNNNNNNNNNNNNNNNNNNNNNNNNNNNNNNNNNNNNNNNNNNNNNNNNNNNNNNNNNNNNNNNNNNNNNNNNNNNNNNNNNNNNNNNNNNNNNNNNNNNNNNNNNNNNNNNNNNNNNNNNNNNNNNNNNNNNNNNNNNNNNNNNNNNNNNNNNNNNNNNNNNNNNNNNNNNNNNNNNNNNNNNNNNNNNNNNNNNNNNNNNNNNNNNNNNNNNNNNNNNNNNCUCGGCAAUUCAUACCUACUUCCUUGCCUAGACUUGAAUUUCGGGACGAAAUUCCCUCUAACGGGGGGAUGAUGUGACAACCCAAGUUGUCCCGUUACAUUUCCCCGUUACCGUUAACGGAAUAUUCCACUGUAUAAAAGUUCCGUUAAUUAGAGGGCAUCAAUUUAAUAAACAUUCCAUUUGAUUACCUUUAACAUGCCGUUAAGUCGUGAUAAAAGGAAAUAAAAACACAGGACACACAUUUUCAUUCAUUUGGAAAAUGUUAAGUUUUAUUAUUACGACCACUAAAUCGGGUGCGACCAAAAGCCCCGUUUGACGGUAGUAUCCGGUAAAAUUCCACUGAGCCCCGANUAUAUAUGGGUGAGUGGAGUCCAUUGGAGACUUUUUACACUCUCUCUCUAAACUCUCUCUCUAGACCCGUUUUCGCCCCGAAUUCGCAACCAAACGCUUCCAUAUUGUAAGUCCGCUUACCCUAGCCUAUUCUAAACAUAUUGAUUCAUGUGUAUGGACCAAAAUACGGAUUUAGAAGCAAUGGAAAAGGAGUUUACGGCCUAAGCUUUUUCUUAGGCCGUAAACACCUAAAACAAGGCCAAAACCACCCAAACUUGUCCCCAUUGGCUAGGAAAUAAAUUGAGGAAAUAGCCUAGGAGUGUUUUAACAUAAAAACUCACGGAAUUAGGGGGUAAAGGAGAGUUUAUGGCCCAAGCACAAGCUUAGGCCGUAAACUCCUCAAAAUAAUGUCAAAAGUGCCCCAAAACACUCCCAAACUCAUCCUAGGGCUUGUUACAUAAUUUAGGGACUUAUCCUCUUGAGUUUAGACCCUUGAAACACUCCAAAAUGAAUUAAUGAAAGGAGUUUACGGCCCAGACAUGGUCAAGGCCGUAAACACCCUAAUUCAUGCCCAAAAUUGUAGUUUUUGCCCCCCAAAUGACCAUAGGCUAUUUCUAUAAAAUGCUAGAAAGGAAUUAAGGGCUUAAACACAAGGAAAAUGAGGGAUUUCUUGGAGUUUACGGCCCAAGCAUUAUCUAGGCCGUAAACUCCCCAAAACCCCCUCAAAUGUUGGUUUUAAUCACCCAAAAUGGCAUCACACUUCAUUAGAAAUCACUAGAAAGGCAUUAGGGGCUUGAAACAUCACAAAACUCAAUGAUUUAGAGUUUACGGCCGUAAACUCCUUUAGGAGUUGUUCUUAGGCCGUAAACUCCAUUAUAAGGCCCUUAGAAGCCUCAAACCCACUCAUGCCUUUGAGGAAAAGUGCUUAGAAUAAUUCUAUGAACAAGCUAGAAGCAUCAAACACCCAAGAAUAUGACCUUGGGAGUUUACGGCCGUAAACUCCCUUAGGUUGGGCCGUAAACUCCUUGUUUGGUCCAUAUUGAUGCUUUAAACCCCUUUACACCCUUGAUACUUGAGUAUAGCAAAGUCCCACAGCUGAUAGGAGACCCUUAGCACCCUUAAACGCUACCCGGGACCCCAAACACUCAACCAAAAGUGUUUUCCACUCCUUUGAGUGUGUAUAAUUGUUUAAUUAGUAUAUUAUAUGCUAAUUGUAUGUGAACAUAUGUUAUCAUAUGUUAAAAUAGGUCCUUGUGUGUGUUCAAGUCCUUGCGUGACCCCGAACGCCUAAACGGCACUACCGUCGGACCUACUUACACCAGGUGAGUUCAUACCCCUGAAUGAACCUUUUAAAUGCUUUUAAAUGUUUUAUAGGGGGGGAUUACAAGUUAAACAUGCCAGUUAUCAUAUCAAUCACAUGUGAUUGAUAACCCGCAUGCACAAGAUUUUACCACUGUACACUGUUUUACCGAGUAGGACACUGUAAAUGGCUUUCAAAAAGGGUUUUUAAAUUGUUCAAGUUCUUACUUAUAUUGCUAUCUAAGAUUCAUUUUCAAAAUGAUUUAUAAUAGAUUCCCAAAGAUUUCUAAAGGUUUUCACACUUAUUUUAUCAAAGAAUACAAAUGCGAUUUUCCUGAGUGAUAAGGUUUUCAAAGAUUUUCAUGAAUACUUUUAAUUGUUAAUCACUGCUGCUUCGCUUAUACUUAUUUUAUACUCCUACUCUGUAAUGCUUUCACUUAUACCUGAAGUCACUUAUACCUGAUGACGCUUAUACUUAUUCACCCUCUUACUUGGCGAUACGAGCCUACUUCGCUUAUACUUGAGAUCGACUUUACUUCACUUAUACUUGAUACGCUCUUACUUCACCUGUUGUCAUCUCCACUUCGCGAUGCGCUUAUACUUAUUCGACAUUUAUACUUCACUUGCGACCGCUCUUACUUCACUUAUUAGACACUCCUACUUCACGAGAAUCACUAUCACUUGAUACCCACUCAUGCGUAGUUAGAUGUAUGUCUGUGCUUGUGUAGACACAUAUAAAUAAUGGUUGAAGGACUUAGGAAGGUUUGUCCACCCUAUUUCCUUUUCUUCGUUAAGAUGUGGUCUGGUGGGAUCGGAUAUCCAUCCGAAGGUCGUUAGAUUCAUUAGUUAUAUACUAUGUUCACGAGCUUAGACAUACGGGUUAUUCCAGUCAAUUCAGUUAAGAGUCUCAACCCCUAUUUUAUACUUUCGUUAGAAACCCACUAUUGGGAAGUCUCUACCUCUAGUCCAGCACUUUCAUUAGAAACCCACUAUUUGGGAUGCAUCUUCGGGACGCGGCCUUCUCCGUCGUCUAGUUGGUAACCAGAGUCUCCUGUAGGGAGAGCGGACAUUAUGUGUAUAGGCCUAUACGGGAUUGACAACCCCGCACCCUGACUGCUAGCUACAGUCCACGGCCCACCAAGCCAAGGGGUGACAAAUGUCACAUUAUAUAGAUGCUUGUAGGGCGUCUGGAACUCUAGUCAGUAUGGUUACGAGUAUCCUGGGUUGCCUUAUAAUUCAUGGCUUUAAGGUAACGGUAUUUCAUCAGCAAUUUACACUGUAUGCUGAUGUCACUUUUCAGAGUCUCCGUUUCGACCUUGCUAGUUGUAUCAUUCAUUUGAUACUGUUUGGGGUCUAUAGUCUCUGUUUCGACCUUGCUAGAUGUAUCUUUCAUUUGAUACUGUCUGGGGUCUAUAGUCUCUGUUUUGACCUUGCUAGCUGUAUCUUUCAAUUGAUACUGUCUGGGGUCUGUAGUCCUUGUUUUGACCUUGCGAGAUGUACUUUUCUUUUGGUAUCGUCUGCGGUCUAUAUUCACUGUCUUAGACCUUACUAGCUGUACCUUUCACCUAGUACCUUCUGGGGUCUGUGUCUCCCUUUGUUAGACUGAACCAGGCGUGUCGUUAGUUCGAUACCCUCCUGGAGUCUAUGAUUCUUUGCCUUAGCCAGUAGUCCUCACUGCUGAGGCAUAUGUUAUUCCCUGAUGUCUCUUGCUUUCUUUAAUAAUCAAAUUUAGUAUUUUGAUAAUAAUAGCAAUUAAGGGAGAAUACCUCUUACCACAAUACACUGAACAGUCUUGGUAGAAGGCUGCUUUAUUUACAGAAAAUAUAGGAUUUUGUAGAAAGAACACUGAUGCUCAGAAAACACUUAAACCACUACAUAUCAAAGUUAUUUGACUAAAUGACAUUAAAUACUUAUGAACUCACCAGCAUUUGUAAAAAUGCUGAUACUCGCUUUUCAAAUAACUUAUAAUCUCAGGUCAGCAAUUAGACAGGUACAUCCCCGGAGCUGCUGAUGAAGAUGGCUUAAGUACCUUGCUACACUUUAUAUAUUUUGCUUGUAUUACUUUGAUACUAUGUAAUGUAACCAUGUAAAAUUAUUACUAUUAAUGCAAUGUUUUGUUGUACUUUGAUUACUAUAUGCAUGUGUUGCGAUACUUGACAUGACGUCAUCCACCCCAGAACGUUUCCGCCGUUCCGGUUUUGGGGUGUGACAGAGUGGAAGAGAAACAGUUACCGGUGUAGAAACAGGUGGAGUCUCUGGUACAAUCUCUUUAUCAGAAGACUCGUUGCGAAUGAUCAACUUUCGGUUCUUCAGAAUUGUUUGUUGCAUCUAUUUCGCAUCAUCCUGAACUCUUUUUCUUUUUGACCCUGGAAAAACAUGAGCUGGAACACUUCUAAACGUUACCCCUUUACUGUUGACUUCUGUCUUGCGAAUAGGAGAGGAUUUGCGAAUCUUCUUCAGUACCCCAGAUUUUGAGGGUACAGUUUCCUUCUUUGAUUUUGAAGACGUCUCCUCUAUCUGAACCUCUUCUUCUUGAGUUUGUUUUGAAGAUUGAACUUUUUCAUCCUUCUUAGUGGUCUUCUUCUUCUUUGAGGUUGCGGCAGUGACUUCCAAUAGGAUCCCAGUCUGCGCAGCUGGAUCCAUUGUCUUCAUGUAUCUUACCAACACUUUGUGAGUGGAUGAUACCUUACGAAGCAUCGCAACCAGAAUGCGAGCAAUGUGUGUAAAGAUAUUUUCAUCGUCUUCCACCACCUUCGGAAAUUGAUACAACAAGAAUUCUGCAACCUCAGCACCCUCUAGGACUUGAAUUCCUUCUUUUUCAUAUGCCUUUUCAAGAAUAAGGCUCCAAUACCUUGCACACGAGAUUCCUUUUUCAGAAUUCGUAUUUUCAAGACUCUUUAUGAACUCCUUCCACAACUGAGUUCCGUAAUCCACACUGAUAUCAUAGUAUAAGCCCAUCACCAUCGCAUAAACUUCCAUACGCCCCCUGUCAAGACCUACUGUUCUUCCUGUCAAACAUCUGAGAAAAAUGCCAAAUAGAAAAUUCCACAUACAGGGUAAUCCAGAUUUUCGGAAAUCACUGAUCUUCUUAAGUGCUGGCUGAUGACCCAUCUCAUUGAACAUAAAGAUGAUUUGAGAAUUGAUGGGUUUGAAAAAUGGAGGGUUGUUGGGAAUGUUCAAGAACUCAAUGAACAUUUUCUUCGUAAGUCGAACCCUUUUGUUGUUCAUCAGUUUGAAUGUAAUCACGUCAGUGGCAUAGUUGUAGGAAGCCGAUGAUGCUGCCAAUGACAACCAUGUCAUCGGAACUAAGAAAGGACUGAACAUGGCGGUGGACAGUGGAGAUCUUUUCAGUGCAACUAUUAACAUCUUCAGUCCUUCUAGGUAAGAAGAUACAUUUAGAUCGACUUGAUAAUUGGUGCUUUGAAUUUUCAUGAGUGAUUGUGAGAGAACCUCGUCUGUGUUGGAUUGAGUGCCAACCAUUUUUAGGGUUUGAACAAGAUGAAUAUGAAGAAGAUGAAGAAAUUUAGGAGUGAGUAUGUUUGUUCGCGUAACCGUAUACAAUGAUCUUGAACCCCCUUUUAUAGGUAACCUGAAUCGAUUUGAAAUUAAAGCGGGAUGCAUUUAAUGUUAUCCGAUGUGGCACCUUGAUAAUCGGACCAUGACAGCAAAAAGGUAGCCAUGCUGCAAAAAGUAGUUGUCACAUCACCUAGAAACCCGGACAAAAUACCAACCAUCUCGUGUACUCAGCCUGUCAAUUUUCCCGUUAUAGAAUUGGAACCGUUAGAACCCUUCGCAUGGAGGCAAGGCUCUUUCACUUUUGGGAUAUAAAGUGAAGUCGUAUGCCAGAUUUGCAAAAUCAUCAGCCUAAGUUGGUAUUACUUAGAACCUCAAGGAAUUCGUGAGUGCAUGUGAGUCAGAGAAAUAAGAUGAGAAGCAAGUUAAAAUUUUUUUUGGAAUUUUGUGAUGUCAAAAAUACAAUUUGACACAAAGAUAGGUAAACCCCAGGCAAAGGUUGCUUCAUUAAUCAUCAAGAGAGAUGAUCAAUAGCUUGUGUAUGUUCCCGUGAAUUACAAUCGAAUACUUUUUGAUAAGUAUCAAAGGGCUUCUUUUGAAAGAUAUUUUUGGGUUGGUUUCAAAUUUCAUUACAUAUCAACCUUAACAUAAGGUGAGAAAUUGUAACUAAAAUUACUUGUAUGACCAGUGUAGUCAGUGACAAGUUGGCUUUUGUAAAUAUUUAUCAUGACUAGGAUUUGCGAAUGAAACUCACACAGAAAUCAUAUUCAUAAAAAUUGUUGGACUGGAUCUUCUUGGGUAACUAACAUCGUGGGUUGCGAAUGUUUGAUCAAGACCACGCAUGCGAAUUGAAUAUGAUUUGGAGUUUCAAAAUUUUGGUACUGAAACAAAAGUUUCGUUAAUACCUGGAAAAAUUUUCCCCAUCAAUUCCUCAAACUUUAGGAUUUUUGGGUUUCACUUUCAUCACGGACUCAUGAUGUCAGAUCAUAAACACAGAAUUUUUGUAUAUCUAAGUCUCGAUGGGUUUGAUUAGAGACCUCUCGGACAUACGUCUUUGUGUGUGAUUUGUGUGAAGAAUUUUGUGAUGAAAAAGAUUGGUUAUCAGAUCUAAUGUACCUCUGUUAUUUGUGGACCAAACAGAAAACUCUUAACUCAUAUGAGAAGAGUAAGGUAGCUCUUUUGACAAAUGUGAAUACAAGCCUUAUUGGGAAGAAAUUUUCAUGUGAUAAUUUCAUUAAGGCUUUCUUUUCUUACACAUAGAGUCAUAUGAGGCUUGAGUCAACAUGCUGCAGCAUGCUUCUAGGGACAUCCUAAUUAGUACAAAUUUGAAAGAAUUGACACCUUCCCAUAGAAACAUAUAAGCAUGACCUCUUCGCAUUAAGCCCUGGACUAAACUCAAAACACACUUAGUUAUCAUGUGUGCGAAUGCGAAGAAAUAUGGAUGCGAAGCCAUGUGAAGCCUCUGAAUGAACAGUAACUUCUGAAUGAUUCUGACUCAUAACUGUUGAAUGGACCUUUCAUUCUUGAUAUUUUAAAACUGAAUUCGAAUCAAUCAUCCCCAAACCUACUAAAAUUCUUACAAAUGAUUUUUCAUCAAGAGGUUUAGUAAAAAUAUCAGCAAGUUGUUCAGUGGUUUUAACAAAAUGAAUUUCAAUAUUCUCAUCUUCAACAUGAUCUUUGAUAAAAUGAUAUCGAAGAGAAAUGUGUUUUGUCUUUGAAUGUUGUACUGGAUUAUGACAAAUGCGAAUUCCACUUUUUGAAUCACAAUACAAGGGAAUCAUUUUCAUGUUUAUCGCAUAGUCACGAAGUUGACUCUAAAUCCAAAUAAUUCCAAAUAAUUUGCAAAGUGCAAGCAACAGCUGAAAUAUAUUCAGCCUCAGCAGUUGAUAUAGCAACACAAGUUUGCUUCUUUGAUUGCCAACUCACCAACUUUCCAUCCAAUAGUUGACAUCCACCACUUGUACUUUUCCAAUCCAAAGUACAUCCUCCUAGAUCAGAGUCUGAAAAAGCUUGAAUGAAGAAUCCCGAUUUCGAAGGAUACCAAAGUCCUAACGAAACUGUCCCCUUAAUAUAGCGAAAAAUAUUUUUCACUGCAGUCAAAUGCGGUUCUCUGGGAUUAGCUUGAUAUCUAGCACAAUUACAUACCGAAAACAUGAUAUCAGGUCUGCUUGCAGUUAAGUACAAUAAGGACGCUAUCAUGCUUCGAUAAAGAGUUAAAUCAACAGCAGGAGUAUCUAAUAAAGGAGUUAGUCUUGUUCCCACUGCAAUAGGUACUCUUAGCUUCGUGUUGUUGGUCAUUCCAAACUUUUCAAACAAGUUCUUUGUGUAUUUUUCUUGAUUGAUUAAAAUUCCAUCCCUGUUCCGUCUUAUAUUCAAACCAAGAAAAUUAUUGAUUUUUCCCAUCAUAAUCAUUUCAAAUUAACUUUUCAUUAGAUUUUCAAAUUCAAUUGACAAUGCUGGGUCAGUUGAGCCAAAAAUAAUAUCAUCAGCAUAAAUUUGAACAAUCAUAAGAUGAUCCCCAACUUUCUUGCGAAUCAAAGUGGGGUCAACUGAUCCUUGUUUAAAUUUAGAUUGCUUAAAGAAAUUUGUAAGUGUUGCGUACCAGGCUCUUGGUGCUUGUUUUAACCCAUACACUGCUUUGUCUAGAAUGUAGACAUGAUCAGGAUGUUCACCAUUUAUAAAUCCUGGUGUUUGUUCAACAUAGACUGUUUCUUCAAGUUCUCCAUUUAAGAAUGCACACUUAACAUCCAUUUGAAAAACAUUAAAGUCUUUGUGAGAUGCAAGCUAAAAAUAUGUGAACUGCUUCGAGUCUUGCAACAGGAGCAAAUGUUUCUUCAUAGUCUAUUUCUUCUUGUUGCGAAUAACCUUUAACAACUAGUCUAGCUUUAUUGCGAAUAAUAUUGCCAUCUUUGUUGGUUUUAUUUUUAAAAAUCCAUUUUAAUCCGACAAUUGAAACAUCAGAAGGUUUAGGAAUUAAUCUCCAAACCUUGUUUUGUUCAAAUUCAGCCAGUUCAGAUUGCAUGACAACAACCCAAUCUGAGUGUUCCAUAGCAUCCUUUACUGUAUUUGGCUCUAUUUUUGAAAUAAAGACAUUAAACAUACACAGUUCUUGAUUCGCAUUCAGUACCUCAUUUUUCGCAUGAAUUUGAGCUCUUGUCAACACACCAUCUUGUGGAUUCCCGAUUAACUGUUCUUUGGGAUGAUUCUUUGUUUAUUUCUCAAGUGGUGGAAAAUCAGGAUUAAAUUCCAAUGGUGCAUCUUCGUACACAUCUUCAUUCUCAGAUCCUGCAACAGAAAAAUUAUCAUUUAAUUCAUGAAAUUCAUCAUUCUCAUCAAGAUUAAUUGUCUCUAUUGUAUCAUGCUGCUCCUCAACAUAAUGUUCAUCUUGAUGCUCCUCCUGAAAAUGAUGAUUUUGUUGAGAUUGCAAAUGCUCCCCCUCAACUUGAUGAUUCAUAUUUUCAUUCUCCCCCUCAAAAUUUUGCUGUCUGUGUUCAUUGUUAAUUGUAUGCUCCCCCUCCAUAUGAACUUCAGGCACACUUUCAAAAUAUUGAACUUGUAGUGAUUGUUGAACCAUCAGUAUGUUUUGAGGAUUCUGAUGUUUGAUUAUCAUGAGCAUUAGUUUUCAAAUCAAUUGCCCUGUCAGGAGUUCUAAAAAUUAAGUCAUAAUCAAAAUCAUUUAUUUUUGAAUUAUCAAUCUUAGUAUCUGAAUUAACAAGAAUUGAGUUAUGUUCAAAUUUACUAUCCAUUUGUUUAAGAUAGUAAUCAUCAAAAGUUAAGUUGAAAGUUUCUUCAACUUUUCUUGUUCGCUUGUUUAACACCCUGUAUGCAACUGAAUUUUGCAAAUAUCCUAAAAAUAUGCAUUCAUCAGCUUUAGCUUGGAACUUGGUCAAAUUCUCUUUUAGAUUCAUUAUAAAACACCUGCAACCAAAAACAUGGAAAAAUUUGACAUUGGGUUUUCAAUUUUUGAGUAUUUCAUAUGGAGUGACAUUGAAUCUGCGAUGAAUGAAUGACCGAUUCUGAGUAAAACAAGCAGUUGAUACUGCUUCAGCCCAAAGAUAUUGAGGUAAGUUCGCAUAUGUCAACAUGGUUCUGGCUACUUCGCAUAAAGAUCGAUUUCUUCUUUCAAUAACACCAUUUUGUUAUGGAGUAUAUGGUGAAGAGAAAUUAUGCGAAAUGCCUUUGUGUAUGAGAAAAGAGUCUAGUAUUUGAUUUUUAAACUCAGAACCAUUAUCACUUUUAACUCUGCGAACACUCUUUUUAAGGCUAAUCUCAAUCUUUUUGAUAAAAUCAAUCAUCGUCUGAGCAACUUCAGAUUUUAACCUGAGAAAAAGUACCCAUGUGAAUCGAGAAUGUACCGCUUUUUAUUGAUUGUAGCAACAGUCGACGGUCCACAUAAGUCAAUGUGAAGAAGUUCCAAUGGUUCUACGAUUUUUGAAUCUAUCACAAUCGGAUGACCUUUUCUAUGUUGUUUUCCUUGUUCGCAAGCUGCACACAGAGAAUCAUUGUCAAAUUUUAGUAUAGGUAAACAUUGAACUAAAUCUUCAGUGACAAGUUUGUUAAUAUUGCGAAAAUUCAAAUGUGACAAUCUUCUAUGCCAAAGCCAGCUAACAUCAUUAGAUGCCUUUGAUAGUAAACACACAGCAGGUUUGCCCACGAUUAGUUUGAUGUCCAGUGUAAACAUAUCACCAUAUCUUUUGGAUUUGAGAAGUACUUCAUUUGUCUUCGCAUUUGAAAUGAUACUUUCUUCUUCAUUAAACACAGCCUGGUUUCCAGUACCCACAACAAGUUGUGAAACACUAAUCAAGUUAUGUUGAAGACCUUCAACAUAAGCAACCCUGUUAACUGUGAAUUGUCCAUUUGUGACUUUUCCAUAUCCUUUCACUUGACAUUUGUGAUUAUUUCCAAAUUUGACUACUCCAGCAUUCUCCAAGCUUCUAUAAUCUCGCAAGUUUUCCUUUCUUCCAGUCAUAUGACGAGAGCAACCACUAUUAAUAUACCAUUUCGUAUCAUAUUGUUCGUCACACAUCACCUGCAUUUAAUGGAAAAAUUUAGGAACCCAAGACUUAUUGGGUCCAUCAUUAGUAUUUUUGAACAAAUUCUUUGAAUUUAAAAACCAUGUUUUCACUUUGUGUGUGACACUAUCAAUUAUAUCAACAUCAUCAGAUCGAGAUAUUGAAAUAUAGUCUUUCAAAAAUUUUGGAUUUUCAUUGAGUUUCAUCUCAUCUUUCACAACAUUCGCAACUUUGAUAACUGGUACCAAUUGAAGAGAUUUUUUAACUAGUUUCCAUUUUUGUAUCGGAACUUGCAAAUUAUAAGAUGAUGAACUACCAGUGGAAGAGUUAUUUGCGAACUUGUCAAAUGCAUUUUUUAUUUGUUGCUCUGAAAACUUUCCAUUUUGAUAUUGUCUUCCUUUUCCUUCAAGCCAACGAUUGAUCAUACAUACAUCAGAUUUUCCUUUUGUAUACGAAACUUUGGUCGGUUUUGAGACUGAAGGAUUUGGAAAAUUUGGUUGUUUAGGUGAAAAGGUCAUUUUUUUUUGAGUUGUGACAUUCAAAGAUGAUGAAUUAUUCGUGAAUUUGCCAACAUUAUGAAACUUUUGAUUUUUCACAAAUUUUUGCGAAGUCUCAAAUUUUCGAUUGUUGUCAUAUUUGCGAACAAGUUUAUCAUUAUUUUUCAUUGGAAUUUUGUCAACAGAAUUUAUUGGUUUAUGAAAACUUGUAUCCUUUUGUUUAUUUAUGCUUUGAAAUUUUGAUGAUUUUGACUUUGAAAUUUGUUCUUUUUCAACUUUUGAUUUAUCAUUGGACACAACUUGCCAAAAGAUUGCUUUUCUUGCUUUUCUUUUUGAAACAUUAUUUUCUGUUGAAUAAUUUCCAACCAUCAAUUUGAAUUCAUGAGAAUUUAAUUUCACUUCAACCUUUGGUUUUUCAACUUUUUCAAAAACUUUGUUUGCUUUUUCACCUUUAACCACCCAUUUUUGUGAUGAUUUUUGUCGUUGAAAAACAUAAGAUUUUUGAGUUAAAUUGUUUUCUACUGUGUUUUGAUUUGCGAAGAAACCUUCAGUAGUUGACCUUUGAUUAUCUUUUUCAACCAUUUUGUUGAAUUCAGGGUUAAUUUUCUCAGCAUUCCCAGUAGUGACAAAAAUUUGAUUUGGAAAAAUGGUGUUAUCAGUGCAUAUAAAAUUUGGAUAAACCACAGUGUUAGUUUCCAAAUAAUGUGCACCUUUGUCACUUAGAAUUUUGUCGAAUUCUUUUGUAUCUCCAAACACUUGAUCAACCACAACUCGUGGAGGUAUUUCAUGUGAAUCCUUCACAUCUUCUUUGUUUUCAUCAGUGUCAUCAGACUUCCAGCUUUCAACUUCCACAUUAUCAAAAUUACAAUGUUGCGAAGUAGAGGGUUUUUCAAUUUCAUCUUUGACUAUCGAAUCAACUAUAAUUUCUUUACCUUUGAUCUUAGAUGUGAUAUUAAUGAUUGACAAUUGACAACAAUCAACCUCUUCUUCCUCUUCAAUCUCACUGGUUUUACUCACAUUAUCUGAAUUAUUAUCGACAUCAGCAUAAUUGAGUUGAGAAUCAAGAGUUGAGGUUUCAGUUUUCUUUAAGAUUUUCACUUGUUCAUUCUUUGUCAAACUUUCAUUGACAAUACUAACCAACUCAUCAGCAUUCAAAAAUUCAUCAAUUUUGACAAUACCAUAUGCGAAUCUAUCAUCAGGUAUUUUGUCAAAUUGAGCAAUUGUGUUUUCGCAAUCAUAAGACACAACAUCAACUUUUUCACGAUCAUAUUCAAGAAAAGGUAAAAGUUUCCUAUGUUGUUCUUUGCUAAUGUCAGAUGAAUGAUGUAAAACAGUUAAUUUUGCAUACAAACGCUUAACAGAGUUACAGUAUAUAUUUCUUUGUGCUAGCAACAACCUAACUUAAUUUCCAAGAUUGUCCCUAUCACAAUUUACAUUUUUGAUUUGUAGUUCAAGUUUGUCUACUCUGCUUCGUUUUAUUUCUAACUCUCUUCGUGUUUCAACUAGUUGCAUAUUUAAAUUUUGAGCUUCAGUACUAGCAGACACAAUAACAGAAUCAAAAUAAGCAACAAUAUCAUCAAAAGAAGUAAUUUCAGCAUCAUAAGCAAAUAAAGGAAUAUUAAAAGAUUCAAGAAUAGCACGUACCUUGGUGGUAAUUGGUGAUUUGUCUGUUGAUUUGGAUACGAAGCACCGACCUGAAAUAUCUUAUUUGCAAUUUUCUUCAAAGCUUGCGAACAUAGCUCCAUGAGUUAGAUGCCUCAUUUCUUCGUCAUCAGAUCCUGAAGACCAGAUCUGAUAUGUUCCACUCUCUUCCUCAUCAGACUUACCCUUCGCAACUAGUGACAUUCCUUUUGUCUUUGCAUGCAACUCUUCAAUCUUUUCCGAAUAGUAAGCUUCAUCUUUCACUUUGUUCUUUUUCUCCUCUUUCUUUCACAACAUGCAAUCAGCUGCGAAGUGAUUCGCACCAUUGCAGUAGUGACAAUAGAUUCCAGAAUCACCUUUCAGUUUCUUCACAUCUUUAGCAUCUUUUUGCUUUUCAUCAACUUUUUCCAUUUUCUUCUUCUCCUCUCCUCCAGCUUUUGCGGCUCAACUCUUCGCAUCAUUUACCUUUCCUUUUGGAUUAAAAGGUUUUUUGAAAAAUUUCUUAACUCUGUUGUUUGAGUAGAAUGCCACAGCUUCGUCAUCAGAGUUCAUUAAGAAGCAUUUAUUGUCUGAACCAUCUGUUUCAUUAAUUUCGACUUCUGAUACCUUUGAAACAAGAGCCAAAGGUCCUCCUAUACUUUGUUUUGAUUCUUCAUACAUUUAUGAGAACUUCACUUUCAUGUGUUUUCAGCUGAUUGUAGAGAUCAUUCAAGCUGGUUGUAUCAAAACUCUGUUGAUUCUUAAUCAUCAUACUCACACUUCGCCAUUCCUUGAGAAGGCCCAUGAUGAAUGUUAAAUUGAACUCCAUGAGAGACCUAGUGAUUCCAUACCUAUUGCAGCGAUACACAAGCUCAUUCGUACGAUCAUAGUAACUUACAAGAGUUUAGCAUCCUUUUGUCUGAAUUCCUUCAGUUCAACAAGACAUUGCUUCACAGAGUUGAUCUUCGUCUUUUCGCUACCUUGAUACUUCUCUUUCAGAGUGAUCCAGAUCUCCUUGGCUGUUUUACAACUACGGAUGUAAUUGUAAACCACGGGAGGUAGAGCACCUCUUAGUUCCCUCAUGCAUCUCUUUUCAUUCCUCUUCAGAUGGUUUUGUUGUUCAGCAACUUCAGCAGAAGUAGUAGAUGAUCCAAUUGAUUGAACAUUAGCAGGAACUUGAACUGUUCCAUUGAUACCAUUCCAAAGUUCUUCAUCUAUUCCAUUUAAGUCAUCCUCCAUUCUAUCGGCCCAUUGAUCAUAGUAUUCAGGGAUUAACAUCAGAAUUUUGGUUGAAGAACCAAGCAAAUGAGAGAAAGAAGUCAUUGUAUUCAUGUUGAAGUUCGCCAUUGAUGAACACGAAAAUUUCAGAAAGCUUGAAAAACUUGAUGAAUUUGAGAAUUGAUCAACUGAAAUGAUCACAAAUUGCUAAUCGAUCACUCGACUAAACAAUUCAAAGGCAGAAUCGAUUCAAAUCUGAAGAUCAAAUGUGAUUUUCAAAACCAAAAUGCGCGGAAAAUUUUGAGUAAAGUUACUACUCAAAAAGCAAAUGAUUCUAACACGAAAAUCAGAUCGAUGCAGUUUGAAUCCUGCUCUGAUACCAAUUGAAGAGAAUUGUUAACGAGAUUAUGAAAGCAAUUAUGAUUGAUUGAUUGAAAAGUAAGAACACAAUGAGUAAAUAUUAAUCAGAUCUUAUAUUAAUGAAGACUGAUUACAAUGCUUUAAGCAGAAAAAAUACUCAAGUUCAAAAAUAUAUCUUUUCUACUUCUAUCCUCAGCCCCUAUUUAUAGGAAAACUGAGUGUACAAAAAAUAUACUAAGUCUAUUACAAUACACUUCGCAUAAAACUGUGACUUAGUAAAAUAACUAAUAUGCGAAACUAAAAGAAACAACCACUUCGACUUUUUACAAUACAUAGACUCUACAAGUAAUACCAAGUUUCUUCUUCCUUAUGGCACCAGAUACAUCAAUAAUGAAUUACCAGCUGGUGUUGAACCUGUUUAGUAAAUGUUUAUUACAGAGCCAGAGCAAUGGAUCUUUUAUCUCGACAGUCAAAAUCAGAUGUGCUUUCAACGCACUGAUGACCUUCCUUCCCCUCCUACUGAACAAUUGUUUCAUCUAUGUUUGGAAGGACUAGGUCACUAUGAACUGGAAAGAGGAUAUCAAAUAUUGUAAUCACUUGACUUGAAUAGAAGACUGGAUGAACUCAAGCUUGAUCAGUGUAGAUGGUUCAAGCCUGAAGUCUUGAAAUAACCUGAAAAGUUUUACAAUGGCUCUUCAGAUGACUUAAAAGAUGACUUUUAGUUUAACAUCAUCAGAUAUGGGGAGAUUUUAAGGUCACACCCUUAUGAUCUGAUGAUUCAAUGAUAUGACACGCUAAUUUAUUAGCGUCAACUUAUACAAUUCAACAGUGCCAUCCUAGCAAGUUCAACAAUGUCAGCUUAUAGUAUAGUUAUCCGAUUGUAAUCUGUUGUAUAUUAGGCAGUUAUUAUAGAUAAAUAUAAAAUAGAUAUCAUAUUUUUAAUCUUCUUGAUAAGGAUCAGAUCAUUAGUAUAUAUUAGACACAAUCCAUUCAAUCAAGUGAUAUAUAUGUAUAGGUUAGUAUAUAUACAACAUUGGGACAAACCCUAAUGUUAUGGGUUAGUGAUCGUAGCUUUUUGUGAAUCGUCUUUAUGACAAACCUAUCUUCUUGGUGAAGACAAAACCUCUUUUCUUGGUGAAAGGAACAAUUUGGAGAGAUUCUAUGGUAUUUACUUUCUGUUUAUUAUUUUGCGUAGAUUAUUUUUACAUUUCUUAUUUAUACUUGAAGUGUAUUUGAUCAAAUACAAACGUUCAUAAGGAAUGACCAGGUAAGAUCAUAUUAGAUGUAGAAUCCGUUUGGUAUAUAGAGUAUACUAUUUAGAAAACGAAAUUUAAACACCUCACUAUUUCUAGCCUUGACAUCAUUCUCGGAAGUAUAUUAAUCAAUAUGAUAACUCGAAUUACGGAUAAAUUGUAUAUAUAAGUUCAUAAUAAAGACUAUGAACAUAAAUAUAAAUUACACUUAAAGCAUAGAAAGUAUAACUUAACUUUCAGGUUUUCUAGCAAAAAUCAAAUAGUUAUGAGUAGAACUUUGACGUUAAAUACUUCUUUUCCUCGGACUUUCUAAUCAUGAAAAGCUUCGAUAAGACGCUCGAGAAUAUGAGAGGCGGAAACCGAAGAUUCGGGAGAGAUUUUAGAGAGAGAGAGAGUGUGUGUGUGUGUGUGUGCUUGAAAAUUUUCUAACAUAUUUUAAGAAUUUACCUAGCAAAUUCCUAAUUAUAAUUGAAUGAAGAGUCUAUGGACGUGUUUGGAACGGAGCUUUUGGAAGCGUUUGGGAGCUUCUAGCUUGUAGCUUUUGACAAAACGUUCUAGUUUAAACAAAAAACUUCGUUUGGUAGUACGAGCGUUUAGCUUUUAGUUUAAACAAAAAGCUUCAAAUCUAAAAGCUACUUCAUGUAGCGUUUAACAAAACGCUACUGAGCUUUUGAAAUCAAUAUCCAUAAUUACCUUAAAAAAUAUAUUUAUAUAUUUAUUUAUUUUUAAUCAAUUGCUUUUUAUGUAAUUUUAUUGUUGGGACUUAUCGUGUUGCGUCUUAAGGCUUUUUGUAUAUAUCCGGAUUGGGCCUAUCCAUCCGUGAUUCUCUCUUAGGGUUAGACUAUAUAUAUGCAUGCAUGUAUGCAUUAUGUUGGUCACGUCUUAUUAAUUACGCUUGAGUUUUGUAACCCUAAACACCUCUACAGUCGAAGUUUUUAAUCGAGUUCUUCUGAGGUGUUGAAGCAUUAAUCAUACAACAUAUUCAAACCAUAUUCUUAUUCACUUUACGUUCUUUCUUGUUUGCGUACUUAGAAUUAAUCGAUCCUGAUAGAACUUUGUUCUAACAAUUGGUAUCAGAGCAGGAGUUUGUGUGAUCAAUACACAUUCCUUCUGUAUUCAGAAUUCCUUAGGGUUUCCGCUUUUAUCGUAUAAAUAACAAGUCGUCUUCUUCGUUUCGAAGGCAACAUUGUUUUAGAUAAAACCCUAAUCUCGAGUUUAAAAGUCUGAUUCUAAAAACUCAACAUGUCUCACGAUGAUUCACAAACAAAUCCCAUUAACAUCUCAAACAGCAUUGGAUCUAUAACUAGGAUACCCAUACUCUAUACUCAAGACUAUGAAGUAUGGGCACUUCAGUUUUGUGACAUCCCCAUUUUCAUGGCCAGAAAAGACCGAUUUUGUUUAUGCUUUAUAAAAAUCAGAGUACUUCUUUUAAUAAAAAUGUUGCGGAAUUUGUUCCCAGAAAAACAUGAUAAAUACGUUAUUAAAACAUUUUCGACGCAACGUAUUUUAUUCAUUUUAAAACAUUUGGGAUGUCAUCGUUAAUACAAAAACAUAAGCAUAAACAGAAUUUACAUUUAUUUACACUAGUGAUCUAUAUCUCUUUAAAUCUCUNUUUAAUCUCUCAGUGUAAUGUCACUUCAUAACAACACCUGUGAUAUAAAUAAACUGAGUGGGUCAGGUUGGGAAACCUGGUGAGUACAUAGGGUUUUCAACCCACAAUAAUAUAAUUAUUAUGUUUAAACAAUCAAACAAUCAACCUAAUUACCCAUCCCCAUUAUCUUCUUUAGUCUUAAGGAUCUACCCUAAGAAUCAGCUAUUCCUCGCUUAUUUAUUCCUAAGGAUCAUCCUAAGGAAUCAGCAUGAAGUCCAUCGUUUACCAAGGCCUAUAGAUUAUAACUGGUUAACACGUAGUCCAAAGCAUCUGGUAAACACUGAGUUCAAAAGUAACUAGUAAACACACUUAGUUCAAAAUAAUUAGUGAACACACUCAGUUCAAAAAUACCUAGUGAACACACUCAGUUCAAAAUACCUAGUGAUCACACUUAGUUCAAAAAUACCUAAUGAGCACCUAGUUCAAAAACACCUACAAGUUACGAGUCGCUAGCGUUCCACUGGACUGUCUAGUAUCGUCCAUGGUCGUCAUCUACACUCCACUAGAUGACUGGAUCACUAUCAACAUUGAGGUCUUUCAUCAUGUUGUCACACAACAACUAUUUCAUCUACCCAUAUUUUACCUAACACAUUUUGUAGAUAUAAAAUACAUAUACAGUUUAAAUCAUUUAAAACAUGUAUAAAAAUCUUCCAUCUAGCAUAGACUGCGAGUAUUCAGACAAUAUGCACACAUAGCACGUAAUUUAUAUUAAAAUACUUCAUAUCUAUGUGUAAGAUGAAAGGGACUAUGCACUCACUUGAAAGGUGGUGACUCAGUACUCGGACAACACUUUGAUACUCUCAAAACAAUUUUCCUUCGAUAAAACAGCGGAUUCUAAAGAAAUUCGGGCUUUGCUCGGAGCCGCGUUUCGAAACCGAAAGACCCUUUUUAUUGGGACUCCGGUAGCCUCGGGGCUUCCCUCGGGAGCUAAGGGAUUUUUCCUAGGGUUUAGGGGGUUAAAAUAGGCUAGAGAGAGAAUUGGUGUGAGAAUUCGGAAGAGUUCGGACCCCUUUUAUAGGCUCCAGCAGCCUCGGUUACGCUGGGCGUACCGAGGUUACGCUGGGCGUACUCCUUGGAUAAGGUUGCUAGCCGAAGCCAACUGUCUCGCACCAUUGGAUGGAUCAGAUCGGAGCUACGUGGGGCGUAACUUCUUCGGAUGCGGGGCGUACUGCGAGGGCGAUGUGUCACGAUCCGAAGCGAGGCGUCAUUAGCAAGCGACGUCCAGAUGCCGCCACGUCAUCAACUUCACACCAGAUUCGUGAUUUUCUACUCCGACUUCUAAAAAUCAUAACUCUUGCAUAUGAGCUCCGUUUUUGACGUUCUUUAUAUGUACGGAAACCUUGUGACAUAUACUACAAUUUGGUUCAAAUUAUUUAUUCUAAAUAAUCUUUUUUCGAAAAGUCGUUUUCGACACUUAUUGCCUCUAACUUGACUAGCCCGGAUCUGCGGGCGUUACAACUUUGAAGACUACGUCAUAGGUUCUGAAGAUCGAGGCUAUCUCAUCUGGGAAGCCAUCACUCUUGAACUGUUUGUUCAUUCGGGAACGAACACUACUGUCAAGACUCAGCAGGAGUAUAACACGCUGGUGGCAGAUGAACAGAAGAUGCCACAGGAUGAGAAAGACAAAUUGCUAUGUAAUGUGAAAGCCAUGCGAAUGAUAACAUUCGCCUUGCAAUUCGAUACCUUUCGGUUAGUUGGUUCAUUCACGACUGCUAAACAAAUCUGGGACAGACUGAAAGAACUCUAUUCAACUGAUGAAGAUCUGGAACACUCAACUCAAACCUUGUUGCUAUCAGAAUUUGGAGCUUUCAAACAGAAACCAGAGGAGAAACUCAUACAGACGUUCGAUCGUUUCAAUCAUCUUCUCAGCAGAAUGGUCAAGCAUGGAAUAGAAGUAAAGUUAAUUGAGCAAAAGGUGACUUUCAUGAACGGACUAAGAACCGAAUGGAUGGCUGUGGUCUCUACUGUAAAAGCGCAUGAGCAGUUCAAAUCUUACUCGCUUGCUCUUAUAUCAAAAAGAAAAGGUGUUGCAGAAGAAGAAGAAGAGUCGUAUAUAUCUGAAUAUGACCUUACAAGCGAAGAGUAUGCUAUGAUGGUCACCAAUCCAAAGAAGUUUGCUAGAAGAAAAUUUCAUGUCAACAAGAACCGAAACUGGAAAGGAAGUUAUAGUUCCGAGAAAGCGAAGGAUGAAGCAAUGAUCACCUCUCAAAAGACUGAAGACAAGAAUGAGAGCAAACUUGCAGGAGACUCUGGAUACGACUACAACUACUGCCAUGGCAAGAACCACUUUGUAAAGGAUUGUAUGUUAAGGAAAUUCGCUGAGAAGAGAGACGGGGAAGAUGAUGAGGCAUACUACAUGCGAAAGAUGGAAGAGAUCAAGAACAAGAAGACAACUAACGGCGCAAAAGGAACGACGAAUGCUUUAAUUGUGCAGGAAAAGGCUAAUGAAGAUGAGUUCGAUGGCGUAGAAGUUGAUGGGUUUUGAGCAUUCUAACACUUCCUAAGUGUGCAUGCAACCCUAAUAAACCUUGGAUCUAUGUUUGUCUAAGAUACAUGCAAAUAAUUAUUUUUCCAAGGUUCAUAUCCUAACUAGCAUGGCAUGGGGAACUUGAAUCAAAUAAAGCUAGUAGAAAUACUUACCUUGUAGUUGUAGUUGAUUCCUUGGAGUUUUAGAGCCUAGCACCAAUAGUGUGGAUGCCUCAAAUGGAAAUCACAAAUCACCACAAACUUGGAACUUUGAGAGAAUAGUCACUACUAUCUUGAAAUCGUCCCUCUUGCUUUACUCACCUCAACUAGUGUGAUUUCAAGAACCAAAGCCUCCUUUAUAUAGUGUGGUGGAUUAAGGUUACAUCCAUGUAAACCCUAAUACCUAUGUCUCUUCAUUUCCAUGAGAUCCAUGGGUUAAAGCUCCAUGGAGUAUCCAUGGACUUUCCAUGCAAGCCUAGCCCAUUCCAAAUAAGCAUUAGCCCACACUAUAUAAAUAUAGAAGCCCAUAUUUAAUUAGUAAUACUUUUGAUCUCUAAAUUAAUCCUAGAUUAAUUAUAGAUCAAUACUAAUUAAAUAAUAUGAUCUUAUAUUAAUAUAUUAGAACUUAUAAUAUAUUAAUAAAUCAUAACUUGUACUAUUCUCAAAAAAUUAUCCAUAAAUUGUUCGGGUGAGGUGCAACCCAAAUGGACCAUGUCGGGUCGGGUCAAGUACAUACCAAAUAUAGUUAUGGACUUAGACACUAUAUCCAACAGUCUCCCACUUGGAUAAGUCUAAUAACUAUAGUUGCAAGUAUGACUUCAGGAACCGAUCAACAAUCGUAGCUCUUUAAACUCUGUUGAACUAGAACGCGCCAUUUNUUUUGGAGUUGGCCUAUGCGUUUCUUGCUUAUAUGUCCAAGACGACAAUGCCAUAAUGAUGCUUUAUCCAAGUUAUUAUUAUUUAUAGAAUCAAUACACAUCACAUUAUUUCCUAAGUUGUCUACAACAGACACAGCUUCAUACACACCAUCACAAGGUAAUGCUUUAAAAUAAAGAACAUUAUUAAAGAAAGCAUCAAUAGAACCAACUUCAUUAUUAAAUGAAAAGGUAAACCCUUGUUUAUACAAUGCAUGAAAGGAAAUAAUAUUUCUUGCCAUUUCUGGCGAGUAACAACAUUUAUUCAAAUCUAAAUUAAACCCACUACUUAGCGAUAAAGUAUAAACUCCAAUCUUGGUGACAGGUGUAACUUUCAUAUUCCCCAUGAUUAAGUUUAUCCUUCCUUGCUCCACAUUCUCACUUCUUCUUAGUCCCUGCAAGUCACAACAAAUAUGAAUACCACAACCGGUAUCAAGGACCCAAGAGUUAGAAUUGGGUGAGUUAUUAGAAAUGAUAGUGUAAAUACCUGCAUGGUUGGGUUUAACUUUCCUAUCCUUCACAUCUUGCUGGUACUUUCGGCAGUUCUACUUCCAAUGUGCCUUUUCAUGACAAUAGAAGCAUUCAGCCUCUUUAGGGUCAGAUGAAGGAGUGAUGAAACCUUUCUUGGUUCCACUUGAAGAAGAGCCAUCAAGGGUCCUAACCGUGGUACCCUUUGAAGAACACUUUCUCUUCUUCCCUCGUCCUUUCCCGAUUGCCAAGACAGGGACGGAGUUGGUAAGAAUAGGAGUAGUAACAACCGCCUUACCCUUAAGACCACUUUCCGUGUUCUUUAAGAGUCCUUGAAGUUUGCUGAGUAUGACCUCUUCCUUGUUCAUGUGGUAUGUCAUGCGGAAUUGAUCAUAACAUGAAGGUAAGGAGUGCAAAAUUAUAUCUAUUGCAAGCUCCUCGGGGAAGUUCACAUUAAGCUUAAACAAACAGUCCACAAAUCUUUGCAUUUUCUGCAUGUGGCCCAUGAUGGGUUCACCAUCCUUCAUGCGAGUUGUUAUCAUAGAGGAGAUGAUUUCAUACCUCUCUUGACAAGCACUUUGAUGGUAUCUUUCCAUCAAGUCUUGGUGCAUCUCAUAGGGGUAGAAAUCUUCAUAGGAUUUUUGGAGAUCAGCGGUCAUAGUGGCCAUCAUGAUGCAUGCCACUUUGGUGGCAUCCCUUUCAUGUGCCCUAAACUCAGCGAUCUCUUGAGGAGUAGCAACUGUCUCAUCAAUCUCCUUAAGCUCCUUAUCGAGGACAUAUUCCUUGUCCUCGUAGCGAGUAAUCAUUCUGAUGUUUCUGAUCCAUUCAUUAAAGUUGGAUCCAUCAAAAGUGAGUUUCCCACACAAGUUCAUAAGAGAAAAGGAGCCACUAGGAUUAGAGCCAGAAGCAGCGUUGUUUGCAGACAUCUGAUAAGAGAAGAAAGAAAGGAUUAGUUUAGAUAUAGAGAUAGUCCUUAAUAAAAAACCCAAAUGUAGUAUUAAGGCUAGGACCCAAUCACAUUAUAUUAUACUUAGAAGAGGUAUGCCGUAAUCUAAGUAAUAACAUAUUUGAAAGGUAGGUGAAUGACGAUUCACCAAUUUCCACCAAAGACGAAAUAUUAAAAAUAUUUAAUUUGGCUUUUUAGAAACUCCUAUAUUCUUUUAUGAUUCAAUGAACUUUUCAAAGGCAUGUUUCAAUCUCGAGUGUGCCCUCCAAGUUUUGUGACUGGGAUGCCGAGGAUCACAAAACGAGGUGUGAAGUAACCAUGCAAAUUACUUGGUACCCUUAAUGUAUUACCCCUCAAUCGAUGUGCCGGUUAACCACACACGCUCCAUCGAUGCUAUGAUAAAUAUUAAGUCACCCUUUACCUACCUUGUUAAGUCCAAGUUAGUGUGCCGGUUAACCACACAUGCUCCACUAACGACUUAGACAAAGUGUAAAGUGUAAUUUCAAGGAUUAGCACCUUAUUCACAUUUUUCAUAAAGUAACUAAGAUUGGGAAUUUAAUAAAACAUUUAGUUACUUUAUAACAUUCAUCAUACUUUUAAUGAGAAUUUAUAAGUCCUUGUCCUACCCAUUCGGCUAACGAACCUCCACCAGUCAAAUGAGUAGUAUCAUCAGAAGAGACGUCCAUGUCAUAC
RNAcentral lists this long non-coding RNA (59198 nucleotides) under Lactuca sativa (garden lettuce). RNAcentral's name for it is "long non-coding RNA (LSAT_LNC000808)". The record is from RNAcentral. Lineage: Eukaryota; Viridiplantae; Streptophyta; Magnoliopsida; Asterales; Asteraceae.